Molecule: long non-coding RNA, 57088 nt
Filed under: Sorghum bicolor (sorghum)
Lineage: Eukaryota; Viridiplantae; Streptophyta; Magnoliopsida; Poales; Poaceae
Description: long non-coding RNA (SBIC_LNC000657)
Rfam family: MIR5565 microRNA precursor family (bases 56473-56581)
Source: RNAcentral
GAUGUCUUGCUAAUUCAAUGUUUUGACAGGAGCGUCCGGUGUAAUUUCAUCGAUUUUUAGAUUUUGAUCGUAUCUAAGAGAUCCUAUUUUAUCUGGGUUGCUAACUCAAUGGUAGAGUACUCGGCUUUUAAGUGCGGCUAUGAUCUUUUACACAUUUGGAUGAAGCAACAAAUUCGUCCAGACUUUUGGUAGAGUCUAGAAGACCACGACUGAUCCUCAAAGGUAAUGAAUGGAAAAAAUAGCAUGUCGUAAUAAAAUCAAUUUCUUUUUUUUUAUAAAAAAAAGAAAUUGAUUUUCUGGGUCUAGUGAAUAAAUGGAUAGAGCCUGGCUCUAAUUCUGGUAAAAUAAAAAAAAGCAACGAGCUUAACUUCUUAAUUGGUUAAUUGGAAGGAUUCCCCGAUCUAAUUCAAAUGUUUGUUUUAGCAAAAAUAGGCUUGGCUAGUCAAAUAUCAAUAAUAAAAUUAUGCUAACGUAUGAAAAGAUGUGUACUCUCAUAUUCAUCUUGUGAAUUAGAUCGAAUACUAAGUGCUUAUGAAGCAUGAGCCAAAGUAGUGUGCCUGAUAUUGAUUUCUAUCUUCUCAUGACCACAAUGAUUCUUUCUACUAGGUUAGAAUCAGUGACAUAGGUAGGUGGUCUGACCUAAAAUACAGCUAGCAAUGAUUUGUUUUCUCUAUUUUUUAUUUUUUAGAGGGGGGACAUAUUAAAGACAUUUUUAAUUAAACAAGGUGCGUGAAAAAACAUAUGUGUGAAUAACAACAAACAAUUUUUUUGUUUCACGUGCAAAAAUGAUGUGAAAGCUAAAGAGAAAAAACUGAUGUUAGAAGAGGCAUCGAAAUAGAUAAGGGCGACCAUGAAACCUUGCAUAUCUUUAAAAUAGAGAAAGUGUAAACCAUAGCUAUAGAUGUAGGUAGAGAUUUAUAUGAGAUAGAAAUAUGAAGAUAAAGAUAGAUAUGUGUUUUGGGGUUAGAAAAUGAUACGGGAAUUAGUUCUAAUAUGCAUAAGUUCUAAAUAGGUAUAAUGUUAAAAUGUGUUAAAAGAUGAAUUUAAUGUCAUUUAUUUUUGGUAAUAUUAGUAUCAUAUUUUUUAUAAUGCUUGGUCAAAAUCAAGAUAGCAUGACUUAGAUAGAACUAUCACGUUGUUUGGCUAGCUCAUUUAUUGGUGUGAUCCGAUCAAACUGCUAGCUAUGUUGUUUAUUGUUUGCUUCAGGGACCAUGCAAUCAUAUAGCGAGUGAAUGGAUAUAGGCCUUCAAUGUGUCGGUUACGCCCGAUGGUUGGAAAUUGUUCACGCUCACGCUCUGCAACAGACAAAGACAAUGACUGAACCAAAUAUAGUAAUUAAAUAUUCCCUUUACAUUUCCACUACACAACCCUUCUAUUUACGUUAACAUUGCUUCUAUGAACCAAACAACACCUAUAAAGCUAAGUUGUUUACGAUGAAGAUAUUAGGAUCUUGGUUUUGUGCGUCUUACAUGUCAUCUUAGGUUGAAUGAGCUACUGCAUCUUUGUGUGGUGAUAUGUGCACUACCAAACGUUUGUUUUUAGCUAAAAGAGUCAAGUAACAAUAAUAAAAUUAUGAUGCUAACGUACGAAGAUAUGUGUACCCAUAUUCAUCUUGUGGAUUAGAUUGAAGGCUAAGGGUUUGUGAAACAUAAGCCAAAGUAGUGUGUCUGACAUUGAUUUCUAUCUUCUCAUGGAUUGUCACCACACUGAUUCUUUCUGCUAGGAUGGAAUCGGUGACAUAGAUAGACGAUAUAACCUAAUGUAGUUAGCACUGACUUUUUUCUCCAUUUUUAUUUUUUAGAGGAAGUAACAUACCGAGAUGAUUUUUUGUUAAAUAAGAUGCGUGACAAAAACAUGUGUGAAUGACAACAAAUAAUUUUUUUGUUUCACGUGCAAAACUGACAUGAAAGCUAAGGAGAAAAAAAUGAUGUUGGGAGAGGCGUCAAAAUGAAUAAGGACAACCAUAAAACCUUGCAUAUAUUUUAAAUAGAAAAAAUAUAAACCAUAGCUAAAGAGUUGAUAGAGAUGUAUAUGUGAUAAGAAUAUAAAGGUAAAGAUAGAGAUAGAUACGUGUUUUGCGGUUAGAAAAUGCUAUGGGAAUUAGUUCUAAUAUACAUAAGUUCUAAAUAGGUAUAUUGUAUAUGUUAAAAGAUGAAUUUUAUGUUUGUUUAUUUUGUUAAUAUAAAUAUCAUAUUUUUUAUAAAAGGUUAGUCAAAAUUAAGACAAUGUGACUUAGUUAGAACCAUCAUGCUUUUUGGUUGGCUCGUAUAUCAUAUGAUCCGAUCACUUUGCUAACUACUUGUGUUGUUUAUUGUUUGUUUCGAGGACCAUGCAAUCGGAUAGCGGGAACAGAUACAAGCAUUCAACGCGCCGGUUACGUCCGAUGGUGGAUACAAUGAAUGAACCAAAUAAAAUUAGUAAUUAAUGAUUCCCUUUACAUUGUCAUUUUGCGGAAGAUAGUGACUAAACCAAAUAAAAUUAGUAAUUAAUGAUUUCCUUUAUAUUGCCAUUUGCGGAACCCUUCCAUUUGCGUUAAUGUUGCAAUUAUGGAACCAAACAACACAUAUAAAGGCAAGUUGUUUAGGAUGGAAAUAGUAGGAUCUUAGUUUUGUGCAUCUCACAUGUCAGUCCACUUAAACUGUGUCUGAUUAGUUAUUUUUUAUUAAUGAAUUAAGUAAUUAGGUGUUUAAGUGUUUGGACUAGGUACCCUAGGGAUAUGCUUUUAACAUGGAGCGGCCCUAAGGCCUUGUUUAGUUCCAAAAAAUUCUAGAAAAUCGACACUGUAGCAUUUUCGUUUGUAUUUGACAAAUAUUGUCCAAUCAUGGACUAACUAGGCUCAAAAGAUUCGUCUCGUCAAUUCCGACCAAACUGUGCAAUUAGUUUUUUUUAUUUUCGCCUAUAUUUAAUACUCUAUGCAUGCGUCUAAAGAUUCGAUGUGACGGGGAAUCUGAAAAAUUUUGCAAAAUUUUUUGGAAACUAAACAAGGCCUAAAUAGAAGCAUAGAACUUUAAUUUUGUACAUCUUUCGUAUCGUCGAGCUGAGCUGUCAACGACCCACACAUGGAAAACUCGCUGGUUUUGCCCACCCACAGAAACAGGAUACCCUAUUUCCGGGUGCCGCCUACCAUUUUCCAUAUCUACAAAUACCCAGAGGGGCGGCCCUUGGCAGCGCCACACGAAGAAACCCAAAAUUCCAACGCGCACCCACUCCUAAACUGAAACUCCAGAGUCCAACCGCGACGCGAGCACACACAGACAGCCAGACAGGAAGAGCGAGCGAGAGAAAACAGAGUGCGACGAAGAGGGAGAGAGAGAGAGAGCAAAACCCAAACCCUAACAAUCAUUUCCAGGCCCCCGCCCCCGGCGUCUCCAGAACGUUCCAGAACCUUCAAGGAACCAUCCACAGGCGAGGCCUCGCUCCCCGCCCGGAUUUCCCAUUUCCACCUUGCCGGCGCGGCGGGAUCCUGACACUGGCGCUGUCUGCUGGGGUUUCGUGUAGGAGCAGGCGCGAGCGCGGGUGUUUGGAUCGGGGGAGGCAACGCUGGCGGCUCGCGGCGGCAGCAGCUGAUGGCGGAUCCGCCUAGCGGUGGGGGAUCUAGGGCUUGUGUCUGCAGGGAGAGACAGGUCGAGGAGGCAGCGGCGGGGCUGGGGUUGGGGCUGGGGCUCGGGACAAGGGAGCAGGGGAGGAGGGAGGGAGGAUGCUGAGCGUGGUCCGGGUGCACCUGCCGUCGGAGAUCCCGAUCGUGGGCUGCGAGAUCACGCCCUACGUGCUACUGCGACGGCCCGACGGUGCAGUCUCCACCGAGGAUGUCCCAGAAACGGCGCCCGCUGAUGGCCAGUUCAUGCGGUACAGAUGGUAAGCAGCUACUUUCGAUUGUAAUUUUCCAAUCUUGGUUGGUAGGACAUGGCAUUUCGUCAUUUUGGAUUGCCCAUUUGUCGUUUGUUUGCUUGUGGUAGUGAAUUUUGACUGAUUUUAGGGUUUCUUACCAGAUACCUAGAUGCUCGAGCAAUAGCUAAACUCAUGAUGAGAAUGUGCAUCUAUUCAACCAAUUUGGGCACGUUAGAAUUAUGAAUGUGCUAUCACAGCUAUUAACCAUGCAGAAGCUCUCUUAAUAUUUAGGUGAAGAGGGCAAGUCUAAAAUAUGCUGCUGCUUGCAGUUUAGAUAGGUCACAUAGACAGAUUUUAAGGUUCGAACAUAGUUGGGAACAGAACUGGCUGAUACCUGUUUUCGAAUGGAACCAUAGUUCAUCAGAUGUCUUAGAUGGGGAGUUGCGGACGGAGUCAGCUAGUAGGCGUAUAAUUCGAUGGACAAUUUGACAAGCCAUCUGAUUUAAGGUCAGUCUUAGAUGGGGAGUUGCGGACGGGGGCAGCUAGUAGGCGUAUAAUUCGAUGGACAAUUUAACAAGCCAUCUGAUUUAAGGUCUUUUUGAAUGUUGGAAGCUGAAAAAUAUGUGGUUAGAAGUUAGAACCAUAGACAUCUAGAUAGGAGUCAUCACAAGAAUUUUAUUUUGCACUGUUUGCCUUUUAAUACAUCUUACCUCAAUAGUUGGCACAUUACUAAAUACUGUCUAACUGGCUUUAGGUCAUCCAGCUAAAAUUUCUAUCAGGACCCAAUAGUGGAAGCAAUUUGCUCCCUUUGUCAGAAGAGUUGAUGUGAAUUGAGUUAUACAUUUUCGCUACUCAAGCACAAGCUUAUGGUUCAUAUGAUUCUAUAGGGUGGGUUGUUCCUUGAAGUAAACACACCGUUAACUUGACUAGUUGAACCUCAAUUGUGGCAAUCCUGGGUCUGGACUUUAACCUUAACCUGUUUCUAUUGUGGUGCUUGGUUCUGCAGCAAAUACUUUUAUUGAUUUAACCCGCAACCAUGUUUUUUUGGUUGGUAUUCAUUCUGGGCUUUUGAUUCCACUUUACUUGGGGGAAUCUCAUGCGUAAUUGAUUCUUUUUGUACUCCAUCCAUUUCAAGAAAUCUAGCCAUCCUCGUGAACAUAAAACCUUUUUUGUCAUAGGCAAAUUGAGAAAGUUAUUAAUAAUAGGAAACUACUUAAUUUUGUACAACAAGUAUUCAAGUAAUCAAAUCAUAUGCAAGUUUGUUGUAACGAUUCAUAUCACUGUGUUCGCACUCCAAAGUACGUUUAAUAUGAUAUCAAUUCUUGAAGCCUACGUAUUAACUUGUGUUUCACAGCACUCGAAGCAGCAGAAGUGUGCUUUUGCACUGGAUUGACCAGUGCUAGUUGUAUCACAUGCAUGCAUGCAAAUGUGAAAACUAAUCCAUCCAGCUCGGGUGACGUGGCAUGUAAAACAAACACGAGCACGGCACCCAAUGCUAAAUUAAUUCUCGGACGUGUUGUGCGCUGGUGUCUUGGUAUCUGAAGUAACGCUCGUAACGCCUAAAAUAGAGAAUGUUUAUUAACUUAUGUAUAUUUUGAUUAAAAAAUGGCAGGAUCAAAAUCAGCUGGUUCUGGUACUAUGAAUUAAAAUAGAAUUCAUGCGCGCGCGCGCACACACACACACAGGCAGUUGAGACAUUGCAUUGACUUGAAGCUAACAUAUUUACACCUUGCCACCUGUGCAAUGUUGACCAAAAUAUUGCAUACUCAAGUUGUCCUGACAAACUGGUUUUUGAGCUGAUGGUACCAAAUUUCAAUGAGCUCAUACUUGCAACACAUCAGCUCCUUAGAGGGCCUCUUGAUUUUUCAGGAUUUUUUUGAAUUUUUCUGUAUGUCUAAUUGUGGUUUUGUUGAUUUGGUUUGUUUCUUGAAGGUACCGCAUACAGAGUGAUCGGAAAGUCCCUAUCUGCAGUGUGCAUCCAAUGGAACAGGCAACGCUUCAGUGCCUCGGCUGUCUCAAGUCAAAAAUACCUGUUGCUAAGAGCUACCACUGUUCAGCUAAAUGCUUCUCUGAUGCAUGGCAGCACCACAAAGUUUUGCAUGAACGAGCCAGUAGUGCCCUAAAUGAAAAUGGGGCUGAAGAAGAGGAGUUAUUUGGCAGAUUUGGCAGCGGUGGUUCUGGGGUUCUAAGUACUGCUGGAUCUGGUUCUUUGUCAAAUUUUGGACAAAGCCCUGGUGUUAACAAUGGACCUGUGCCUUUGUAUCCCUCAGGCACUGAUAAAAAUUCUGGAGAAACUUGGUUUGAAGUUGGACGCUUACGAACAUAUACACCAACUGCUGAUGAUAUUGGGCAUGCACUAAAAUUUGAGUGUGUAGCUGUGGACUCAGAAAAAAGGUCUCCAAUUGGACCUCCUACCUCAAUUAUGACAUCACGUGUAAUCCCUGCGCCAACUCCUACCCCUCGUCGCCUUAUCCAAGUGAAUGGGGAUGUUUUAGGUCACUUGGAUUUAGACAGCCAAACUUCGUCCUUGGGGACAUUCACUGUGUUAUCUUACAAUAUUCUUGCUGAUGCAUAUGCUACAAGUGAUGCAUAUAGUUACUGCCCAACAUGGGCACUUACCUGGACUUAUAGAAGACAAAAUUUGUUGCGUGAAAUUAUUGGUUAUCAUGCUGAUAUCAUCUGUCUUCAGGAGGUAUCAUAUUCGAAUCUAAACUAUCAAAUUUAUUUUUGCUGGCAACCUUUUUCUCUAUUUUCUUGAUGGAUAUGUUUUACUGUGUAAAUUAAGAAAGUCUAGAGUUAUGCAAUCCAAUGGACGUAGGAGUGGUAGUACUAUACAAUGAUGUUUUAGAUAUCUUGGCAAAGUUGCUGAACUAACUUUUUCUGCUUGUUAAGUUCAGUUUGGUUAUGACUUAUGAUAUUUGCCAGCUUUUUCGGGUAGCAUAACAUUAUAUGCUUGAUUGCUUGUACAUUACCAAGAGGUUUCUUAAUCUGCUUGCAUUUAUGUUAUGCACUUCGCAAUAUUGGCCUCUUAGUUUUUUUCAUGGAGUAUAAUGCAAAGAAAGGCUAAGCCCAAUAUGUAGUCCCUUCAUUCCAAAAAACCUGUUUUAGUGCGCGUUUGGUUUGUGGCCGCACCUCGUCGCACCGUGCUGCACAUUCCGCGCCACAGUUUCGGACUUUCGGCAGCCAUUUGGUUGGGUGCCGCACUUGCGGCAUGCCGCGGCGUGAGCACAGGGCCGUAGCUCAUUUUCUACGCCACACCCUGCCAAAAGCGCGGCGAGGAAAACAGCCGCCGUAGUCUUGGCGCCGUCCCUGCUGUGGCUUGGCGAGCUUAGGCACAGGCCAAACAUGCCCUUAGCUUUAUCAUAAGUCAAACUUGUCUAACUUUGACCAAGUUUAUAGAGAAAUAUAUUAGCAUCUAAGGUAUUCAAAUAAAUGCACUAUCGAAAUAUAUUUAAUGGUGUAUCUAAUCAAUCUAGUUUGUAGUUAUAGAUGUUUUUGUAUUUUUCUAUAAACUUUCUCAAAGCUAGAGAACUAAGAGCAACUCCAAGAGCUUUGCUAAAAUUAAUAGCCAAACUCCAUUAUUUAGCUAUUUUGUAAAAUAAAAAACUUCUUAAAUAAAGAAGAGGUCCACAACAGCCUUGCUAUUUUAUAAAAUCAGAUAGUUAAUGUCAUUGGUUGGCUAUAUAUGGCCACCAAAAAUCAAGGGAUAGCCAACUUUCUAUUUUACAAAACCAGAUAGCACAUUUGUUGGAGCCUACUUUUUGCUAUACAAAUUCUAAAAUAGCCUCCACAAUAAAAAUAGCCAAGCUAUUGGAGUUGCUCUAAGAGAAGUUUGACUUAGAACAAAGCUAAAAUGACUUGCAAUUUGGAAUGAAGCGAGUAAUUGGUGGAAUCUUUCGUUAAGCUAAAUAAGCUAAAUUCAAUAAUCAAUAGUGUCUAUGUUCAUCAAAACAAGAUCUAAAUCCUCCUUUUUUAGGUACAAGUAAACCACUUCGAAGAUUUUUUUUCACCUGAGCUUGAUAAACAUGGAUAUCAGGCGCUUUACAAGAAAAGGACAACUGAGGUAACUUCGAGUUUCUUUUACUUGGUUAAUUUGAUUGGUACCUUUUACUGUCCAGUUUGAUACUGCUCCUUUGCUAUCACAGGUGUAUUCUGGAAAUCCUAUGGCCAUAGAUGGCUGUGCUACUUUUUUCCGCAGAGACAAGUUUUCACAUGUUAAAAAAUACGAGGUACGGUCACUUCUGGGUUCGUAGUUAUUGGCUGAUUUGCACCAAUCUAAUUCUUGCACUUGCUUGUGUAGGUUGAGUUCAAUAAGGCUGCACAGUCUUUAACAGAUGCAAUUAUUCCUGCUGCUCAGAAAAGAGUGGCUUUAAGUCGAUUGAUUAAAGUAAGAAAAACAAUGAAACAUUAUUUUAUAUUUCCUGUCAUUAGUUCUAUUUAUGAGUUUUUAAUAAUGUCCCUUUUUCCAUUUCCUUUGAAGGACAACAUUGCACUAAUUGCGGUGUUAGAAGCCAAAUUUGGUAAUCAUGGAGCUGAAAAUCCUGGUAAAAGACAGCUCCUUUGUGUGGUACGUGAAUAAAAUUUUCUUUCUUUUGGUGUGUACAAAGAGCUUGUAAGAUGCGUAACAUCCUCCUCAUGUUGAAAAUUGAUAUUUACCAUUUUUCUCUAGGUUUUGAGGCCUGCUUCUAUCAUAUAUUGCUAUUUUUUUCAUCAUUUACGCCUUUCCCUCACUCUUGUUGGCACACUAAUAGAAUUUUGUUGUCACGAGGGUCUCUAGCCUCAUUGUUUUUCAAAACGAUUUCGAUUUGCAGGCAAAUACACAUAUAAAUGUCCAUCAAGACCUAAAAGAUGUGAAGCUAUGGGAGGUCUGUAUGUUCACAUUCGCUAGUGGUCUCUGUUAUCUCAAUUUUCCAGGAUAACGAUAACUAUGGUUUUUACAGGUUCAUACCCUCCUAAAAGGAUUGGAGAAGAUAGCUGUCAGUGCAGACAUUCCUAUGUUGGUCUGUGGAGAUUUCAACUCGACCCCUGGGAGGUGUGUCUGCAUUUGAAAAUCAUGGCAAUAUUUAUCAGUUUUUUUUUUGCUUCAACUAUGAUUUUCUAAGCACACAAUUGUACAUUUCAGUUCUCCACAUGCGCUUCUUGCAAUGGGCAAAGUUGAUCAGCAUCAUCCAGAUCUGGCAAUAGACCCCCUUGGAAUUUUACGCCCUCCAAGCAAGUUGAAUCAUCAGCUUCCUCUGGUCAGUUAAUCUGCCAUGGUUUUGAUACCCUUUUUGCUCUGGUCAUGCUCUGACCAAUGGUGUUGCUUGUACAUAGGUCAGUGCAUACUCUGCGUUUGCAAGAAUGGUAGGUGUUGGCUAUGAUCUGGAGCACCAGCGGAGAAGGACGGAUCCUGCAACAAAUGAACCACUCUUCACAAAUUGCACGAGAGAUUUUACAGGAACUUUUGAUUACAUAUUUUACACAGGUUGGUGCAUGGAGCCUCACUACAUGUGGAGCCUGUUAUUCUACGAUUGCAGCUUCUGUAUCUCCAUUUUCUUGAAUAAGAUUAUAGUCAGUAAUUGUGCUUAUUCUUUUCAUGAUGGCCAUGUUUGUUCUUUUUCAGCGGACUCAUUGACCGUGGAUUCAUUAUUGGAACUUUUGGAUGAGGAAAGCUUAAGAAAAGACACAGCUCUUCCAUCCCCUGAAUGGUCAUCAGAUCACAUAGCGCUCUUAGCAGAGUUCCGUUGCAAGCCUAGAAUCAGACGGUGACGCAUUAGGUAUGUUACAAAGGAAACCGCUGCUGUCAUUUUGUUGACAUGAAUGGUGUUGGAUUUUACAAUGAUUAUUUAUGUGUGUUGCCCCCCCCCCCCCCCCCCCCAAUUUCUCCCAAUGUGGGUGUUUGUCAAGUUUCAAUAGUAUGUUUGCAUAUCUGCAUUUACGUGACCAGUGCUUGCAAUAUUCUUUUGCUGCACCAGAAAUGAUUUCAUUGUCGACAGAAGACACUAUUUGCGUUGUAGGAGUUCAUAAUACUUUGUUCUUUUGGGUCAUGCUUUUGCUUGAGUAAAAAUAAUGCUGCAAGUCAUGCCAAAUUUCUGCUAUGUGCUUAGAUAGAAUGCUUCAUAUACAACACUCACCACACAACUCGCGACAACUGUGUUUAAGUCCUUGAUUCUGCGGUGACAAAUUGACACUGAAAUCAUCACACUUUGUGAAUCUUUCCAGGUCUUGUAGAAAAGGUUAUUCUCAUCAUCCUUGGUGGUGGAACACUGUUCCAUGUGGGAACUUGAGUCAGGGCGGGGACGAGGGCUCUCGGGGAAGCAAAGCAGCCUUAGGAAGCAGCCUCAGGAAGGGGAAGAGGCUUGUAACAUUGAUUUUACCCUCUUACAUUUGAGCUCAGUGAUAUUAAGCUGCCCCUGUGUACCAUUACUUUCUAUAGAAGAAAAAACUUGAGAGAAAUAUUUAAAGGGUUAUAAACCCUUUCUUUUUCUUUCGUUCACUGUGGUCGCGUUCGAUUUACCCUCUUGGCUGUAUCCAUGCUCGCUGCCUACAAGAUGUAGGAGCCCUCAGCUUCUCUAAAUUCUGUACCAAUGUAAUGCCGGUUCCUGUUUUUCUUUUCCAUGUUGCUGGUGCUGGUGAUGGCACUCAUAUCUGCUUGACCAGGCAUUUUUAUAACCGGUGGCAGGCAGCUCACAGGCAGGUGGAAUGCCUAGGUAAAUAGCUCAGGUUUGCAUCCAAACAUGCCUCAUUGCCCUAAGAUGUGUGAUGCGUUUUUGUUGUUUACUGGAAUCUGGCCGUACGUCUGUCGGCUCCGUGACACCUCUUGUUAUGGAGUUGGUCGCUGGUCAGAACAUGUCCUCUGCCCAAGAGCCGAUGCUCCAGCGUACGCACGUACAGCUCGGCUCCUUGGCUUCUUCGACCAAACUGGCACCAAACACGUUUGUUGGCGAUUAACCCAAAGUUCAGAUGUUGAUGUCGGACGUGCUGGCAACCUCUACUAAGGCCUUGUUUAGUUCUAAAAUUUUUUCGAAUCUUGUGGCAUAUGCAUAGAUAUUAAAUAUAUAUGAAAAUAAAAAUUAAUUGUAUAGUUUAUCUGUAAAUUAUGAGACGAAUCUUUUAAGACUAGUGGAUAAUGUUUGUUAAAUAAAAACAAAAGUUGAAAUCUAAAAAAACUUUGUGAACUGAACAAGGUAAACGGCACGAUAAAUCAGAAGAGGCAUGCAGGAGAGAGAGGAAGCAUCUGUACGGUCAGUGACAGGGCUUGGGUCUGGUUUAGUUCACCUUGAAAACCAAAAAGUUUAAGAUUCUCCGUCACAUCAAAUCUCGUGGCACAUGCAUGAAACAUUAAAUAUAGAUGAAAAUAAAAACUAAUUACACAGUUUAGCUGUAAAUCACGAGACGAAUCUUUUGAUCCUAGUUAGUCCAUGAUUAGAUAAUAUUUGUCACAAACAAACGAAAGUGCUACAGUACCGAAAACUUUUCACUUUUCGGAACUAACAAGGCCUUGGCCAAAUCUUGACCUGAGCCUUUGUAGCUGCAGUCUGCAGGCAUGUCAAAAGUCAAACCUGUGACGCGCCAGAAAAAUUCCAGACGUUUGACCGCAUGCAAGUCUCUCGGUGCCACUGACGCCGUGGGCCCAGCUUUCGUGGACCAUUGGCAACGUAGCCAUCGGCGCCGCCGGUUCUUUUUUAGCCUUGAGUUUUCAAAAAAAUUAAGAUUUUCUAUGAAUCUUUAAACACAUGCAUAAAAAUAUUAAAUAUAGAUAAAAAAUAACUAAUUGCAUUAUUUAUUUGUAAUUUGUGACAUGAAUCUUUUGAGCCUAAUUAGUUCAUAGUAGAAUAAUAAUUACCAAAUACAAACAAAAUGUUACAGUGUCAAAAUUCAAAAAAAUUUACCAACUAAACAAGACCUUAUACCAAUGCAUAAAGUACACGGGCAAGUUAUGUUUUUUUUUUCUAUUUUGUAUGAGUUCAUUUGAAUACGUGGUUCAAAUCCAACUUGUACCUAGUAGGGCGAAAAAUCUCCAAAGAAAAAGAGAUGGUCUCAAGAAUGGCAAAUCAUAAAGAGGCGCCUUAUCACUCCUCACCAUUGCUUUUGUCCGUUCCUCUUAUCAUCUUCGGAGAAGCUUGCAAAAUACUCCUUUGAAGUUGGACAUAGUGUAACAUAAUGAUUAGCUUAACAAUCUGUUAACUAUUUAACUUUUUCUGGAUAACACAAUGGCUACCUUAUUUGUCAUUGACAAUUCCUUCUAUACAACAUAUAUUUAUGUCCAAAACAGAACAUGGUAUACCUCCAACGGACAAGUCUCAAUGGAAAAUUAAUAAAGCUGUAUACAGAUGAUAGAAUCAUGUCACAAAUUAGUAUAAUGCUCUAUCAUGACACAUAGAGCAAACAUAAAUGACAUAUUGAUAAAGUACUAGAUAAUGUUGCAUAUAUUCCGACUAAGGAAGCAUUUACCUUGCAGUUAACAAAAAGAAAUAAUACAUACCCAAGUACAAAUGGCUCAUUAGCAUCUUAAUCACAAAAAUACUAUAUCACUAAUGCAAGGAGCAACUAGGUUCCUUUGUAUAUCCCACAUAUCCCAAGCUAAGAAAAGCAAGCCUCGAUUUGAGCUAAAAGAGGACCAGGUGGUGAUCAAACAAAUUGUAUUUUUCUAAAGAGUAGUGAUUUUGUGCCAGAGAAUCCCAAGUAGUUUCCAAGGGACCUUCACUUUGCUUAUUGCAUCAUUGUUUUAGCUCUUCUUAUCUGUUUAUAUGCACAGUAGAACUAAGCUAAACCAAUAAGCAUGCUUCACAUGCAGUGCAUGCUAUAAAUGAUGUCAAUAGUUUUUUUUUUAAAAAAAAUAUGCUGGUGGUUAAUUAAACACACGGCUCGACAAGAACACAAAGCGAUAGUGGUUUCUAAUACCUAUAUAACCACAACCAUGGUAAAAAGUCAAAUUUUGUUUAAGAUAUACUACUUCUAUCCCAAAACAGGGAUGCAACUCUAAUUUUGUCCUAAAUCAAACUAUUAAGUUUGACUAAGUUUUAUAAAUAUAUCAGUACUUAUCAUACAAAUAAGUACGAUCAAAUUCACUAGAGAAUAUAUUUUCAAAACAUGUAUAUUUUUUGUAAUAAAUGUUGAUAACUGUUUUAUAUAAAUUUAGUUAAAUUUAAGAUUGAUUAACCUCAAUCAAAACUAGAAUUAUAUUCUUGGUCCGACGCAAUUAUGCAAGCGAGUAUAUUAUUUUCAAAAACUAUUGAUUCCGGUGUCGGUGUCAAGGAAAAGAAAAAAAAAUACUCGUAUGGAAAUGGAGAGAAGCAAAAGGUGGAGAAGAUUCAACUACACAUCUUUCAGGAAAAAAAAAAAGAAAUCUUUCAAAAACGCGGUUCUGAAACCCGUAUUUUGAUUUUUGAGGUUAGACGAGGGUGCAUCUCACAAAAAUCAUCCACUUCCUCACCUCCUCUGGGGGGCGUUUCUUCCAACGUCUCCUCUCCCGGCCGGCGAAGGAAGGAAGGAAGGAAGGAAAGGAGGCACGCCCCACGCGAAAGAAAGCUGACGCCGCCCACGCGCCCAGGAGGAGAUAGAGCACCACCAUCCGCGACCGACGCGUGAUCAGAUUCCAGCACCAAUCCCCUCCUCCUCCCCAGCCCCCUCCCCGCGCUAAAAUCUACACAGAAAGCCUCGCGAAUCCGGCCUGAUUCGAUCUCGCGCUCGAUCCCGGCCCGCCCACCGGGAGGUCCUCCACCCUCCCUCCCGCCAGAUCUCAGCGUCGCUCGUUCGGUUUCGAUUUGGUAGUGGAAGGGAGGGGAGGCGGGAUGAGCGCGCGGAUAAAGGAGAUGGUGCGUGUGGCCACGGCGCGGCUGGGCGGUGAGCAGGCGGUGGGCGGUGGUGGCGGGGCUUCCUCCUCCUCGGGCUUCACGCGCAGGGAGUCCACGGCGCGGCUCGGCGGCGGGGGUACCAGCCUCCGGAGGCAGCCGCAGCCGAUGGCCCCCACCGUGCGCACCGUCUACUGCAACGACCGCGAGGCCAACGCCCCUGUCGGGUACAAGGUACGCCGCGCUUGGCGCUUGCCCCCCCGCAUUCUGACAUUCGGUCUGGAUCUCGGCGAUGUUUCGUAUCGUAUGGUUGUGUUCGAGGUGGAUCGUCUGGCGCGAUAAGCUAGCUGGUUUCUACUUCGCCCUGGGCGUUUAGGAUUUCGCUUCACCAGGAUUGUGUUGCUGAUCAGCUUCGAGUGCCCUGGGUGGAUUGGAAUUUUGCCUGCAGCUUAUACAGUUGGUUUUGGGAGAUGGGAAUGACAGAUGUUUGAUGUGUUAUCGCUGUAAGUGGUACCGCGCUAUAUUGCCAGGGAGCGGCGCAGUUUAGACCUCCACAGGAUUGCCUGAAGACUCUUCAUGCUUUCAUUGUAUCUUGUGGAUCAUACUGUGGCCUGGUAACUGUGGUUUAAUGUCAGUGUGGAACACAAACACAUGGGUUUGUUCUGAAACUUGUAUUUGAAUGGGUCCUAUUGGUAGUAUUUUCCCCUUCCCUUCCUAUACAAACGUUGCAGCUGUAGUAUAUUAAGUGUAUUUGCAAGAACUCUGUUGCAUCACACUAAUGACAGCCCCCCUUCAAUUUUUGGUUUGUAUCAGUUAUUGAUUAUUAUAGAGUUAUUCGAAGCUGGCACCUCAACAUAAAACUUUGUUUUGACCAUGUUGGCGCUAAACUUUACUCCCUCCAUUCCAAAUUAUAAGACAUUUUGUCUUUUCUAGAUACAUAGUAAAAUCAACAUAUCUAGAAAAGCCAAAAUGUCUUAUAUUUUGGAAUGGAGGGAAUAGUUUGUUUGACUAUGAUGAUUCGUCUGUUUUUUUUUCCCUUUUAUGAUAUGAUGCAAUCUCCAUGAAAGCUGUCAAUUCUGCACAGUAAAUUGGCAGGAUAUUACUUUUCCUUUUCACUGUUGCCAUCUGAUGUUAGUUCCGCUUUUGAAAUUCUUUUGUAUGCUUUAUUCAUAUGUCUCAGGGAAAUUCUGUGUCGACUACAAAGUACAACAUCCUGACCUUCGUACCUAAAGGAUUAUUUGAGCAGGUAUUAAUACAUUAUUUUUUUUAAUCACACAUGUUAUCAACCAAGCAAGUUCUUUAGAUUCAGCAUCUUUUAUAGCAAUUUUCCCUUCGUUUUUAAUUGAAAGGCAUUAUUUGUGUAUUAUCAAAUUUUCAUAUGUGCAAUUGGUUGAAUUUGCUUUGCUCCCCUUUUGUGUUCCCCAAAUACUAAUUUGUUUUGACAAGAAAUGUGGACUUACACUUAAUUGAAUGAAACACCUAUGUUCAUGUGCCUUUUCUGCAAACUGAUCUCCUAGAAUUGUUCCUUUCCUGAUCAUGGUAUCUCUUAAUUGGCUUAAUAACAGAUUGAUGAUAUGUCUGCUGGGUUCUCAAAUGCCACAGUGCAUUUAAAAUGUGAUUCUGUUGUCUUUGCAUAUUAUGCAUGCGCUGUUAAAAUUGUACUAUCUUGGUUUAUUUUAGUGCACGUUGUGCUUUCAGCACUUUACGCUGCAUUUUGUACGACUUCUCAUAUCUGGUAGCUUCUUCCUAGUUCACAGCUUUGGUAGAUAAGGGGAAACAAACUUCAUAUCAUAGACAGUUGUCAUCACUGACUCAAAUAUGAGUGUUAUCGUUCAUGUUUCCCAUGCCCAACCAAUCACUCACUAAUGCAACAUAAAUUUGAAUGUUUUAUCCUCACCAAAUCAUGCAACAGUAUUGGACCAGAAGAACCUUUUGUAAUUCAUUUGUCUUUUGCUUUGACAGUUCAGGCGGGUUGCAAAUCUUUACUUUCUCAUGAUCUCAAUCUUGUCGACUACACCUAUUAGGUCUCUCUCUCACUCAUGUGCAUCUUCCUAGUUUUGAGUCAACUCGUCAUUCUUUGCUUUUUGCCAGCCUUAAUUUUAACUUUGCACUUGUGCUUACAGUCCAGUUCAUCCUGUCACUAAUGUUGUUCCCCUAAGUAUUGUGCUUCUGGUGUCUCUCAUCAAGGAAGCUUUUGAGGAUUGGGUUAGUAUUGCUAUUCACUAUUUUGUUCUGCCAUGCUUAAGUUAAGAGACCUGAUGUUGCUCCUUUUCCUUUUCUGCCCUUUGUACAGAAGCGUUUCCAGAAUGAUAUGUCAAUUAACAAUGCACAUAUCGAUGUAUUGCAAGGUCAAUGUUGGGAAAGUACUCCAUGGAAACGACUGCAGGUUGGAGAUAUUGUGAGGGUAAUGUCUUAAAUGCAUAUUUAGUAUCUUGUGAGUUAAUCAACAUAUUCCAUACUGAAAGUAAUUGUCUUGAUCUGUUUGUUGUGUAAUAUUGAGGUUUAAUGGCAUAAAAAACUAAUAGUGAUGACACUUCUUUAGAGCAGAUCAAGCAAGAUGGUUAUUUCCCUGCUGACUUGCUCUUCCUAUCAAGUACAAACCCUGAUGGUGUCUGCUACAUAGAGGUCCUUAUUCAUUUAUACUUUUUAUUCAUUUAUUGGCUCAAUUUGAAACUGAAGCCCUAAUAAAUGUGCUUUGGGGAAAAUAUUCAUUGAUUUUGGAUGAAAAAAUAAUUGCAGACAGCAAAUCUUGAUGGGGAAACAAAUCUGAAAAUAAGGAAGGCUUUGGAGAAGACUUGGGACUAUGUACUUCCUGAAAAGGCUUCUGAGUUCAAAGGUUUUGUGCCUCUUAUUUUCUGGUUAAGGAAGAUGUGUCUUUUUUGCUUAACUCCACAUUGGUUUGUCCUGUUUUAUGUGCCUUGGAAUUCUUCAUAUUUGAAUUAGAUAAAUGGCUUACAGGUGAAGUGCAGUGCGAACAACCAAACAAUUCCCUUUACACGUUUACUGGCAAUCUUAUCAUGGACAAACAGACUAUACCUCUGUCACCGAACCAGUUACUCCUAAGGGUAAGAUUUGUUUUCCAAUCGUUUUCUUUCUUCUAUGAUUAGCCUUAUUGUUUUUUUCCUUGUCCCUAGACAAGCAACAUCUUUGGAGUUCCCUAGAUUGGCCAUAUGUCAGUGUCUGCUCUAUAUCCUUCAUGAAAUGCUUCUAACAAUGAUUUGUAGAACUGGGAUAGCUUCUGUAGAUUAGCCUUUCCUCACUUUUAACAAUUUUAUACUUUUUUUCCUAGUUUUAUAGAUGGCCAAGCAGGGGCAUGGCACAGCCUGGCCUGGCCCUGCUUAGGCAUGGCAUGGCAAGGCAUGAUUAGCUAGCCAUGCCAUGCCGUGCCAGCACACGAGCUCCCCCGGUGGCCCAGGCAUGGCACUGCAGCGGCUUAGUCGUGCCGUGCCGUGCCGGCCCAACGAGCCUGGCGAACUCCCAAACACAAAUCUAUCAGAAGUUUAGAGACCAGAGAUUAACAACGGCAGCAACAUCUUUACACCCAAUCAUCCAUACGGGCACAAAUCCAUAUAUACACAAAUCAAUCCAAGUCCAUCUGCUGAGCCACCAUGCCUCUGGUGGAGUAUUUGAGUGUUGCAUGAGGUGGCCGUCACAACUCACCUGGUCAACACUGGCAGUAGAUGAGAAAGGACAGAGGAGAGCAGUGCCACAGCGCUGACCACCUCGUCUGAGUUUAACCGUUACUCCUACACAAACAGUGGACGGGUGGAGAAGGGAGCUGCGCUGGUCUUGAAGGGGAGAACCGGAGAAGGGAGGGGAGGGGAGCAGCACUGGAGUUGCUGCGUUGGAGGGGAGAGAGGAGAGUAUGGGAGGGGUGGUGGAGGGGAGGGCUGGAGUGGAGCGCGACACAGCAGGAAAGGAGAGUGCGGUGAGUGGCUAGGUUUGGGGUGCAAUUUAUAUGUGGGGCCGGGAUGGUGAUGGCUUAGGAUGGCCCAUUAAUGGGGCCGCCUACGAAUCAUGCCAUGCUUGGGCUGGCACUAUGGGCCGAUGGUGUGGCCCAGGCACGACACUAGCCAUUUGUCCGUGCUGGCACGGGCACGGAUGGCACUGGGCCAUGCCGUGUUUAAUCAGGCCGUUCCCUGUGCUGCCUGUUAGAUCUGCCCCCUCUUGGCGUCUUACCUAGUUUUGCUUGAAUGAUGAAUAGUUGAUGGUGGGGAAGGUAUUUGUAGGGUUCAUGAUAGAAGAUUUGUACCAUGCUGUAUGUUAAAAAUAUAUACUAUACUAAAAACCGAUACCAAUUGAAAAAUAGUGACCUUGUAACCAUAGUUUGUGGGGAUGGUAAAGCAUCUCCUCUGGUCUUUGUUAGAGGGUGCUUAGGUUUAGUUUAUUUGCCGUGAUAAGAGAAGGUACCUAUACGGCUAUACCUGAUAUUUGGUGCCUUUGGCUAAGAGAACAUCCUUUUAGUUCUUCAGUGAAAUUUGAGUUCAUCUUUGAACCCAUGACAAGAUACAUGCAUUUGGAUAUUUCAAGUCCAGGAUAGAUCUGUGGUUAAGAGUCACACUCUCCUUUCUAGUCACCAUCCUGCAAUACAACAUUUGAAAUGCUUAAAGUAUUUGUUUUUCUCUUUCUAUCCUUUGCUUCAUCAGAUUGAUUUGUUAUUUGUGUGGUUGUGCCCCCUCGGUCUACUCUUUUCAUGCACCAGAGAACUUUAAUUUUGCUCUGUGCUUGAGUGAACAUUGACUUAUCAUUGCCUUCUUGCUACAGGGAUGCAGCCUUCGUAAUACAGAAUACAUUGUUGGCGUUGUCAUAUUCACUGGGCACGAGACAAAAGUAUGGGCAUCUUUCUAUUCCCUAUCUAUUCGAUGUGGAAAUUUGAAGUUUUGAUUUUCUUCAAGUUUCAAAAUUUACGCCUGUAGUAAACUGUUGCAGGUUAUGAUGAAUUCCAUGAAUGUUCCCUCCAAAAGAAGUACAUUGGAAAAAAAGCUAGACAAGCUUAUCCUUGCUCUUUUUGCAACCCUCUUCACAAUGUGUGUUAUUGGUGCCAUUGGAAGGUUAGUUCUUUUACAAUCUCUGUCUUUAUGUACCUACUUUAUAUGUCAAAACAAAUCUCUGCUUCAUUUAUGAAUGUCAUUGUCAUUUAUUGUCCUAGAAUAUGUGUAGUCAAACUUUUUUGACUUUUAAGAACAUAAACUGACAAUUAUAUUUAUCACAAACAAUAUUUUCACAUUUUUUAAGUUCUUAAACUUGACAAAAAUAUUACAGUAAAUUGGCGACCGAGGCAGAUGGAGAUGGGAGGGACCAUAAUCACAAAAAACCUGGGUCGGUCAGGUCUACAAUCCACACUAGUGUAGGCAUCUCUUUGGAACGUUGAAUUCCGGAUCCGGUUCGUGACCCCAAGACUCCAGCUUGACCUAUUUUACCCUCCACGAACUCAUCUAGGCACGCUAUGCACAAGCAACAGCCGUUUCUCGCCUCUUUGGUCUCUCUCCUCCCAUGGUACACUGCCUCUGUCACUAGAAGCCACCACUACUACGUUCAAACCUUUGUUGCAGUGCCUACUCCGUUGCCCCCAAAGAGCUGGACCACCUUGGGCCAGCUCUGCUGUAACUUCCGUCACUAUGUUCAAACCUUUGUUGCAGUGCCUACUCUGUUGCCCCCAAAGAGCUGCGCCACCUUGGGCCAGCUCUGCUGUAAGUUCCCUCCUUCCUCCCUUCAGCCCUUCUCUCACAUGGGAGUCUUGAUUUGGAGCUUGUGACCCUGCAGCAACAGGACAGCGGCCCAGUUUGGUCCCGACUCUCGAAUUGGGACGAUGAUCCAGGGUUGCGGAAUGUGGCAUCAUCCCUGUUGGGACUUGGGAGAGACAUACAUGCUCAUAGGCUAGCUGUUAAAUUUAAAUUCCUUUGUAACAUCAAAAUGAAAUUAUUUUAUCUAAUAAAGCAUUAUGCAGUUAUAGUUGUCUUUACAUAGAAUUUGUUCUUGGUUAUUAAAGCUAUUUUUGUACUAGUACUGAUGGACCAAUUUUUCCUUUUUUUAACAGUGGUGUGUUUAUUAAUGAAAAAUACUUUUAUCUUGGAUUGCGUGGGCAUGUUGAGGACCAGUUCAAUCCCAAAAACAGAUUUGUGGUAUAUACCGUUUUAGACAAUUUUAGUUGUAUCUAAAUUCAUACAUGUAGCUCUAAAACACUAUUUCUUCCACAGGUGACCAUUUUAACCAUGUUUACUCUAAUAACUCUAUACUCAACAAUCAUCCCCAUUUCGCUUUAUGUGUCCAUUGAGGUAUUUUGUUCAACUUGUUAUUUAUUUAGAAUGACCUAACCUAUGCUUGGACUAUCAGAGCUUAUGUUUCCUUUGGCUGCCAGAUGAUCAAAUUCAUACAGUGCACACAAUUCAUUAAUAACGAUCUUCAUAUGUACCAUGCUGAGAGUAACACCCCUGCUUUGGCACGGACUUCUAAUCUUAAUGAGGAGCUUGGACAGGUAAUAUCUUCCUUUUGCCCCUUAUCCUGUUUUAAAUUUAAAUAAAACUCCUAUUUGGUCACUCAAUUAGGACUAUGGGACUAUCUGAUCAAGCUACAUGGUUGUGUUUGUAUUGGCGUAGAUUACAUCUUUCUCGCAUGAUUCAUUCGACAAGUUAGAUAAUUUGCACCAUUUGUGGAGAAGGAAGGGGUUCGGGGGUGGGGGGAGGAGUGUUGUUGCCCACUGAGCAUAAAUAUGGAGAUGUCUUUUGGCUUCUUUCCGUCCAUAUUUUUUUUUGAAACAAUGGCAGGAGCUCUGCUGGUCCAAUUAAGACGAAAGAAUUUAUGUACAAGAAAGGUUAGCUCAACGAGAUGCCAAAAGGAGGCAUCCGAGGGGCUAACCAACCCACGCGACGUGGUUGAGCACAAACACGACACACUGCGAUGGGUCAUUGUUGCCUAGCAUGGAAACAAAGCUGCCAGCAGCUCUGAGCCUCUGACUUCCCAUGGCAGGCCACCCACGAGCCACCAGUCGACGGGUCACCGCUGCAAUGGCCAUCGAGGAAGGGGGCAGGCGGAGGAGAAGAAGAAACCCUGUGCCCCUGUUGCCGUCCCUUGCCCCUGCACAGGCACUGACCGGCACCACCCGCACCGGCAGUAUCCGGUUGGAUCCACAUGGGCGGCAGCGGUCCUAGCUGCGGGAGGGCCGGAUCCAGUGGGAGGGGUGCUGGAGCCACUGCUAGAAUUUCAGGCAGAGCGCCCCCUCCGGAUCCCUCUGCUGUGCGCCAUUCCUGCCGCCCCAGCUGCUGAGCGACGCGCCCCCUCCGGCAGCCUCUGUGCGCCACUCCCGCCGCGCCUAGCCGUGGUGCCAUCCUGGCCGCCGAGUUCCGUCCCUGCAAGGAGGUGCUUGUGACCCUCCUGGACGAGAACCUUGCCGCUGCCGUCCUAGGGGGCUGCACGGGCCUCCCGUCCCGGCAGUUCCCUCCGGUGGCGGCGAGGGAAGGGAAGGUGGUGGUUGACGGCGGCGACGGCUAGGGUUUGCUUGCUGCCCGAGCCGCCUGUGUGGGUGGGCGAUGCGGGGGCACUCUUUCUGUCUAUAUCAUGGGGAUAUUCCAUAUAAUCUGUACAUUUUAACUGAAUGCUUGGGAUCUUGGUGUUAGAUUUUGAUGAUUGUUGAUAUGAGAUAUAAAUAUUUUGUACAUUUCGCCUUACUUUAGUUCUAACUCAUCAUCAACAUUAUGGUUCAGGUUGAAUAUAUAUUUUCUGACAAAACUGGAACACUUACAAGAAACCUGAUGGAAUUCUUUAAAUGCUCAAUUGGUGGAGAAAUGUAUGGAACUGGCAUCACAGAGAUUGAGAAAGGAGGAGCAGAGCGGGCUGGAAUUAAAAUCGAUGACGAUGAGGUGCAAUGUUUAUUGUUGUUGAAGUCCAUAAAUCGUAUCAUCAUGUCUGCAAAUCUAACAAUGUUUACAUUUCUUUAUUUACUUUCAUAGGGUAAAAGGUCUGCCAAUGCGGUCCAUGAAAAAGGAUUCAAUUUUGAUGAUGCUAGAAUCAUGCGCGGUGCAUGGAGAAAUGAACCUAAUCCUGAGGCUUGCAAGGUUGGUGUUUGGAGAUUUUUUAAAAUAAGUUUGGAGUCUUCUGCAUGAAAAGUCAUUAUUCGUCUCUUGUUAACUCAGAUAUGAUGAUAUAAAAUUCUAGUUUGUUCUGAAAACCAACCUUUUGUUUUUCUGAUGUUAUUUUUAGGAAUUCUUUAGAUGCCUUGCAAUCUGUCAUACAGUUCUUCCAGAGGGUGAGGAGACUCCGGAAAAGAUAAGUUACCAGGCUGCCUCACCUGAUGAGGCUGCACUUGUGGCUGCUGCUAAGAAUUUUGGCUUCUUCUUUUAUAGGUAAUUAUAUUCCUGCAAAUAGUCUUAGAUUCCUCAGACAUUUCCAUUCUUCUAUGUAAUAUCCAAACAGUCAACAUUUUCUGAAAAAACCCUUCACUGUCUUAAAUGCACUACACAUGAAAAUACCCAUGUUUUGCUCAUACGGCUAUCUAAUUGGGAAAAUUGGCUCCACAUCAGCAUCAUUGUGAACAAAGCUUUAGUCCCAAACAAGUUGGUGUAUGCGUACGCUAGUGUCAUGUAUAUGAGCCUGUGGAGUGUGCUACCAAACUGGACAGGUGUAAGUGUAAGCCAUUGCAGGGGUACGCAAUAAGAGAAACUGAACAACCGCUGGUCAGGGGCAUCAAAGAGCAGAAUGGAAAGCUUCAGAGUCAUCUUCGGUUCUCCUUUAUGCUGCCUCUCAACCCUAAUUCUGAUCUCUGAUCUGAUUCUACUGCCUGUUCUCACCUUCUCCGGUUCUCCUUUGUGCUGCCUCUCACCCCCAAUUCUGAUCUCUGAUCUGAUUCUACUGCCUGUUCUCACCUUCUCUGGUUCUCCUUUAUGCUGCCUCUCACCCCCAAUUCUGAUCUCUGAUCUGAUUCUACUUCCUGUUCUCUUUUUUCUCAAACAAGCAGGAGAGCUGCAUAUCUUUGUAUUGAGAGGAAAGUCUCAUGCAUUUUUCGAGAAAAAAAAUUAAGAGAGGAAAAAGAGGGGAAAUAAUCCCAUACAAGACAAGACAACCCUCUUAACCCAGCUAGGAGAUAAGAGAAGGAUGCAAACAUUACACCUCAGAAACCACAUGUGCCCUGAACCCGACCAUAUAAUCACUUCUGGAGCUUUCAGGCUCAAGCCAAACACCACAGUCUCAUCUCUUCUUUGAAGGAGUGCUAGGCUGUCUGCAGGAAGGGAGAAGCUUCAUCAGUUUCACAACUGUUCCUGUGGUUCGACAGUAUCCCAGUGCCAAGUAGGAUAGUACUGUUACAUCCUUUUCUUUUGGCCUUCCCAAUCUUUUUACUUGCUUUUAUCACUAGUCUGCAAAGCACUUGUCAUGUCGAUGAGGCACUGAUGCACUAUAUGCUCCAGCCCACGAAGGCUGAACAGAUUGAGUCAGAACUGACAAGCAAAGACAAUUUGUGAGGAUACGCUCCACUGUCUCCAAUUAUCAGGAUGUGCAGUCCCCCUUUUUGCUAAAUGACCAGUCAUCAAACACUUGUUUCUAAUAGCAAGCCAUAGAAGACCUUGCAUUCAGAAGGGUCCCAUGAUUGCCUUGCUGUAAAGUCAACCAGUAAGUGGAGGGAAUUGCCUUGCUGUAAAGUCAACAAGGCUGCCAUAAUAUCAGGUUUAGUUACUGAGCAGCAACCCUUGUAAAAUCUGUCAGUAUACCUGUCAGGCCCAGGAGCUUGAUCAGAUGGUAAACUGCAUAUAGUCGCCCAUACGGCCAUACUUCAUCUUCACUAUAAGGCGCAUCUAAAACUGACAGGUCCUAUCUUUCUGGAUGAAAAUACUGAAGGUUCACAGUUGUAUUCCUAGGCAAGUGUACAUGACGGCUAGAGAUAAAACCCAACAAUAGCCUCACGAACAAAAAAAAAAGUAAUGAUAUAACAAUGACAUGUCGUAGUGAUAUUAGAAAUUUGGAGUAAGAUACGUGUACCACUGCCCCAUUGUGAACAUUUCCCAUAACUAGGUCUAUUUAUAUCUUUCAGGUUUAUGUUUCUACUGGAGUUGUUCCUUUAUUUCUGAAGUUGCAAAAAGAAUAACCAAUUUUCAGAUAUUAGUGAAUGGUAUUGUUUUGAGGGUCACAUUGUGCUUGUUUUGUAGGCGUACACCCACAACAGUUAUGGUUCGUGAGUCACAUGUUGAAAGGAUGGGGAGUAUACAAGAUGUUCCAUAUGAAAUUCUGAAUGUUCUGGAAUUCAACAGGUGAGUUCAUUUGUUGUCUCUGUAGUGUAAAUUCAAUGAGAUGAAAUUAUUGUUUUGUUGUUUAUGUUUUAUUAUUGUACUAACAGUACGAGAAAGCGACAAUCGGUGGUUUGUCGUUUCCCAAAUGGAAGAUUAGUUCUCUAUUGCAAGGUAAUACAAGGAAGACGACCUUGGUUUGACUUCUGUUAUGUUCAUCGCACUAGCUGACAUAAUCUUUGUGUAAAUAGGGUGCUGAUAAUGUCGUAUAUGAACGAUUGGCUGAUGGAAAUCAUGAUAUGAAAAAGAUCAGCAGAGAGCAUCUAGAGCAAUUUGGUUCUGCUGGCUUGCGUACACUUUGUCUUGCCUAUCGGGAUCUUAGCAGGGAGCAAUACGAAAGCUGGAACGAGAAGUUUGUACAAGCAAAGUCAUCUUUACGAGAUCGUGAUAAGAAGCUCGAUGAGGUUAAUGGGUUACCAUCUUUUGGUUAUUGCUAUGACGAUUGGCAUGAAUUCUGACAAUGUAUUUGCUUGAACGUGGUCCUUUCUGUUAGAACUUAUGCUACUGGAUCUAUAAUUUGUUUUGUACCACGUCUUCACUUGCUUGGAUGGUUUCUUAUUUAAGCAGGUGCACCUCAUGCAUUGUUAGAAGGAAGCAUGACUCAGUAGCAUGAAACAUUUCUAGCUCUAGACAUUGUUAUUAAUUUUUUCCCUGAAAAGUUUAUUUGUGAUAUUCAUUAGCGCUUUGCUAUUGUGCACUCUGUAACAUAUUAGAGUUUUCUUACUUUGUAUAUUAGUGAGAUUUAUCUGGGCAUUCCUUUUAUAACAAAGCUACAUGGGACGUGCUGCCUGUGAAAGCAGCCAUGUGCAAUUAUUGCAGUUUUGUCUAGUUUGUUGUCAUUUGCUGCAAUACGAAUGCUAAGUGGUUUGAACAUCCUGUAAUGGUGACCUCAGUUAGAUAUUAAAGAAUAUUUUAAAAUAAACCACAGUAGUUAUAUCAAAAUCAUUUUGGUGAACACGUUACUGUUAUGGGAGUGAUGAUAUCUGAGUGUUAAUCUGUUCAUUUCCUAUUUUAGAAUAUACCUUUUUCAUUGGUUUAUAUGUGAAUUUUAUCAUGCAAAUCACUGACUAUCUGCAUUCUAUAAAGAAUAUGUGAUCCUUCAAGUUGAAGCUAAAUUAUUCUGCUAUUGCUGGCAACAUUGUGAUUGGAUUUUCCUUCUUUACCCUGUAGGUGGCUGAAUUGAUUGAAAAAGACCUUGUAUUAGUUGGGUGCACAGCUAUAGAGGACAAACUGCAAGAAGGGGUGCCAACCUGCAUUGAAACUCUCUCUGCAGCUGGCAUAAAAAUUUGGGUGUUAACUGGAGAUAAGAUGGAAACAGCGAUUAACAUUGCAUAUGGUGAAGCUUCCAUCUAUUCUUGAUUAGUUUUUGGCUUGCUCUUCUCCUUAAACUAUUCUUUCUGUCAGUUUUGGAUUCUGGGUGUUCUUUUCCUGAUCUCUCUUUCAUCUAACAUAUACAGCAUGCAGCUUGGUAAACAAUGACACAAAACAGUUCAUCAUUAGUUCAGAGACAGACGCUAUUAGGGAGGCUGAAGACCGGGUAAGCUGCACAUACUGCACUUUGGACAACAUAUAUAAUGCUUUUAGCUGGUUUAUUUCUUUUGCUAAAGGUUUCUCCUGUAAAAUUCAAAAAAUUAAAUAAUGGGAUAAAUUAACUGCAAAAAGUUCUUUUGGUACCUGACUACUUGUGCUGCUGUGGUAUUAUGCAUUUAUGGGUGUCUGUUCACAUGGCAUAUUAACCAUGAUUUUGACUCGUGUUUCUGGAAAUUUUAAUUUUAAGGCCUCCCAGUAAUGCUCUUUUUUUGUGGAAUACAUAUAAGAAAGUAGUCUUCUUUAUUUAGUUGUUAUGGACAGUGUUGUUUAUUGCUUUAGUGCUUUGGCCUCUCUAUUUCUUUGACGUUGUUUUCUUUUACAUAUCUUAUUAUACUUAUUUUCUUACAUAAUCAGUUGUAUGAUUGUUUCCUGUUAGUAUGAUCAACUUGUGACCAGUAGUUUGUACUUUUGGGGGAUAUUAUGAGUUUGUACUUAUAUUUUUCUGCUACCAUUGGGUUUUUUUAUAUGGUGGCAUGCAUUAUAUUUUCAUAGUUAUGUGUGGACUGUUCUUCCUUAGUGCUUGGGUUGAUUUCUCCCAAGUUUUUGUUGGUGCUCUUUGUCUCUCUGCCUGUACUAGACUAGUUUAUUUGGCCUUGGGUCUCAGUCACAGGUCAUGUUAGUUGUGGAAGGCUAGUUGCUCUGGUCUAGUGUUCCCUUGGGGAGGGGGAUUCUUCUCCCUCCUUUGUACUUUUUUUUUGUUCUCAAUGAAAUGAUGCACAACUCUUGUGUGUUCGAGAAAGAGAAAAGAAGCGCCUCAUUAUAUUUUCAUAGUUGUCCUUAAUGCUUAAGCCUCACUAUAUUGUUGAUGGUUAUCUUGGAUGUAUCUCGUGCCUACACAUGCCAUACAUAACCUGUCCUUUCAGGGUGACCCUGUGGAAAUUGCACGUGUUAUUAAAGAUUCAGUAAAACAGAGUCUGAAAAGCUUUCAUGAGGAAGCCCAACAUUCUUUAACUAGCACCCCUGAAAGGAAGUUGGCUCUCAUUAUUGAUGGUAGAUGCCUGAUGUAUGCACUGGACCCAACUCUUCGUGUUGAUCUUCUUGGAUUGAGUCUAAGUUGCCACUCAGUUGUAUGCUGCCGAGUUUCUCCGCUGCAGAAGGCACAGGUAAAUAACAUUUCUUGAAGUACGACUUUCCUCUUACUGAAGAAUUAACAUUUAACAAUAUGGCAUUUUGUUGGGAACAAACCCACACACAGAGGCCAUAAACGGAAUAUUUUUUUUACUAGACUAGAUAUAUUACUAAUCAAUAUACAUUAUACAAUGGAUGCUUUAACUACUUUGGUUGGUUUUUACUCUUUAGCAUCCUGUUUACACUCAUGUACUUCUGAGUUCUGAGUUGCAUUUUCUGAUGUGUGAUCGUUCUGUUAUCAGCUGUCAUUAGGGUCUUUAGUUUGAGGUAUCAGCUAAUCUUGUAUAGGGUGGUGCACCAUGGUUCUGUUGUGAUACCAGUUCUCAUGUGCACCAUGGAUAUGUACAUACUUGGGAUGAGGUGUUGAUUGGUUAGGCCAUUCCAUUCCUCAAACCAAACCAGUAGGAAGAGAGGACUGGUGGGUCCAUUCUCAAAGCAAACAUGGCAGUAGUCUCUGAUUGAUUGUAUGGUUUCUCUAGCAUGUUAGAGUUACGUGAAAAUUUAAAAAUACUGACAUUUAAUGUGUAUAAUAUGUAGGUUACAAGCUUAGUUAGGAAGGGUGCUCAGAAAAUAACUCUCAGCAUUGGCGACGGUGCUAAUGAUGUGAGUAUGAUUCAAGCUGCUCAUGUUGGGAUUGGCAUCAGUGGCCAAGAAGGAAUGCAAGCUGUUAUGGCUAGUGACUUUGCCAUUGCACAGUUUCGUUUUCUUACUGAUUUGCUUCUUGUACAUGGACGGUGGUCUUACUUGAGACUCUGUAAGGUAUGGCUAUAAUUGCUCACCUUUAACUCUGCAUAUAUUUCAAUGUACUGAGUAUGAGAUGUUCUGUUGCAGGUUAUCACAUACUUCUUCUACAAGAAUCUGACAUUUACACUAACUCAGUUCUGGUUCACUUUCCAAACUGGCUUUUCUGGUCAGCGGUUUUAUGAUGACUGGUUUCAGUCUCUAUAUAAUGUUAUUUUCACGGCACUACCUGUAAUUAUAGUUGGAUUGUUUGAUAAGGUAUGAUUAUACUUACUUGUUUAUGGAGUUAUGUCUCCUGCAUUGCACUAAACUGACUCCUUUCAGGAUGUUAGUGCGUCACUGUCAAAAAAAUACCCACAGCUUUACAAGGAGGGAAUCAGGAAUUCAUUCUUCACGUGGAGAGUGAUUGCUGUGUGGGGCUUCUUUGCCUUCUAUCAGUCAAUAGUGUUCUUCUACUUCACUGCAGCUGCAAGUCGGCAUGGUCACGGUUCAUCUGGCAAGAUUCUUGGCCUAUGGGAUGUUAGCACUAUGGCCUUUACUUGUGUCGUGGUGACUGUGAAUCUCCGCCUUCUCAUGGCAUGCAACUCUAUAACAAGGUGGCAUUACAUAAGUGUGGCGGGCAGUAUAGUGGCCUGGUUUAUGUUUAUUUUCAUAUACUCUGCAAUAAUGACGUCAUUUGACAGACAGGUAAACUUGUUUACUGAUCUGAUCUGAAUAAUCUAUUGUUCCUGUGGUGGCUUUCUUGCUUCCUCACACGAUUUAUUGCUUUUGCAGGAAAAUGUGUAUUUUGUGAUUUAUGUUCUAAUGAGCACCUUUUUCUUCUAUCUGACAAUCUUGCUUGUUCCGAUCAUCGCCCUGUUUGGUGAUUUCCUAUAUUUAUCGUAAGAUACCUGAUUCCUUUGAAAUUAUGACAAGUUCAGCUUUUUACUUGACCAUGUCAACCAUCUCUGAUCCUGUUUUGUUGUCUCAGGAUUCAAAGGUGGCUAUUCCCUUACGACUACCAAAUAAUCCAGGAGCAGCACAAGGAUGAGCCCCACGAGUACAGCAGGGUGCAGCUACCAGAGACCAGCCACCUAAGCCCAGAGGAAGCGAGAAGCUACAUGAUCUCGAUGCUCCCUCGGGAGUCAUCAAAGCACACUGGCUUUGCCUUUGACUCCCCAGGAUACGAGUCGUUCUUCGCCUCGCAGCAAGGCGUCGGCGUGCCACACAAGCCGUGGGAUGUAGCCCGGAGAGCGAGCAUGAAGCAACAACGAGCAGGAAAAUCCUAAUCGCUCGAAAACCCCUCCCCUGUGUAAAGUUUUGUAUAUCUGGUUUCUUGAUCGCAGUCGCAGACCACAGGAGUUUGUAAAGGUAGGCCCUGUAGCCCUUUUUCGUGUUUGUCAGUGGUUCACCCAUAUGUUGUUUUGGGAUGAAAAGUAGGCAUCGGUCCAUUUUGGCUGUUAAAGAAUCGUGUAGGAAUACUUGGUAGAUACGUAUAAACCAAGGUGGUAUUGGAAAGGCAGUUAGGAAAGUUAUUUCUGGCGUUCAUUGCGUGGUGCAUACAGCUUUUCAACUUUUAGAGUUGAUUGGGUGGCGCAUGCAACUUAAAACCUGUUAUUAUUGGAGGCCUGUGCAUUGAUCAUAGCCCAUCUUAUUCUAAUAUAUAUAAGAACUUCACAUCCUGCUCCUAUACCUUGUGUAGAGCAGCUUUUGACCUUUUGUUCGGUUGGUGGCGGGGUAUGGCAACUAUCCUCCCUGAGUAUUUCGGAGAUUGCCUUGUGUAUACGAUGCACUAUCUUACUGGACUCUUGGUUUGGGCCUUGUUUAGUUCCUUUUUUUUUAAUUUUGACAUUAUAGCACUUUUGUUUUUAUUUGAUAAAUAUUGACUAAUUAGGCUUAAAAGAUUUAUCUCGUGAUUUACAGAUAAACUGUGCAAUUAGUUUUUAUUUUUAUCUAUAUUUAAUGUUCCAUGUAUGUGCUGUAACUUGUAAGAUUCAAUGUGACCGAAAUCUUGAAAAGAUUUUGGUUUUGGGGUGAACUAAACAAGGCCUUGGUGAAAGUGUGCAACGAAAUCUACAAGUCUAGUACAUGUACCAUGUACUGUAUGCCGUAGAAUUAGAACAGAAUGCAUGUUGCCACGCCCAGAGAGACCUUCAAUUCCCAUACAACCCUGCAGCGGCACUAAUAAUAACGACUGAAAAGCUUCAAUUAUUUCCUCGCUGGUUGCACGUCCGGCGACACGGCAGCCCAGAACUCGGCGUCCUGCUCCAGCGCUGCCAUGUGCUCCGGCGUCAGCACCACCUCCGCGUCGAUGCUGCCUCCGCCCUCCCGCCCCGGGAACAAGGACACCUUGCCGUCGUACUUGUUGGCCUUGCCGCCCCGCACCGCCAGCACCUUCCCCCACCCGAAGUCGCAGCCGUACAUGUCGAACCGGGGCGAGCUGCUAAUAAACAUUGCGUUCGGGUCGAACAGCCUGAACGCCGACAGCCCCGGCUUCGCCGUCCACGCUGCCGCAAGCGCUCGGAUGCCCGCGUCCGUGUGCGCCGCCACCGCGCGGCCCACGGCGGCCGCCGCCCACCCGUGCCCUCGCGCCAGCAGCUCCGACGCGCGCACCGCCUGCGUCGAGACGGCGUUGAUGGCGUUCCCGAAGUACUCCGCCGGGAGCGGAGGCCGGAGCCGCGCACGGUUGUUGGCGGACGCGCGGAACACCACCUCCUGGUCCGGCGCCGUGCGCCGCGCGCGGACGAAGCACCUCCAUAGCAGCGAGCUCAGCGCCUGGAAACUUGUCACGGCGGCCGCCCCGGCCGUGUCCCCGGCUGCCAGGAGCUCCUGCCGCGCACGCUCCUUGAGCGCCGCCAGGGACUCCGCCGAGAAGUGCAGCAUCCGGUCCCUCUGCGGCGGCGGCGGCAGCGUCGGCCUCGCGAUGAGCCCCUCCAGGUCGGCGUAAGGGAGCACGACCGGCGCCGCCGCCCUGCCACUACCGUCGGGCGACCAGCGCUCGAAAAGGGGCGGCGUGCGCGGCGACGCGAGCACGCCGGGGGAUAGCCUGGCCCGCGCGAUGUCCGCCCACGCGUUGAUGAAGUUCCAGAAGGCCGUGCCAUCGGAGAGCGCGUGGUUGUACACGAACCCGACGAAGACACCGUCGGCGAGCUCGGUGACCUGGACGACGAAGAGCGGGCGCUCGUGGCCGUCGUAGUUGAUGGCCUCGUUGAGCGGGAAGAAGGAUCGGACCACGCUCGGGACAUCGGCGUCGGGAGGGACGACGUCGGCGACCGCGACGCCGUCCGCGACGGCCUCGAGGACCUCGACGCCCUGCCCGGCGCAGUCGACGGACACGGAGCAGCCGACGACGUGGUCCUCGUCGUCGUCAUGGUGCUGGUCGAUGGCGAGGCGGCCGGCGACGGGGUAGUAGGUGGCGAUCGCAUCGGCGAGGGCGGCCUGGAGGUGGUCGACGAGGUGGGUGAAGGUGGAGAAGCAGGGCGGCGGCGCGAAGAGCAGGCCCUUCUGGAUGUAGUCGGCGGAGAGCAAGGAGAGGUCCCAGGUGGUGAGCGGGAUGCGCUCGCGAGGCCGAGGCGGCGGCUUCACGGUGCGCCUCGACACCACUUGCACCGGUGACUGCUGCAUCCUCCUCGAUCUCUAUUGGAACGCAGUUGCGCACGAUAAAGUUCACUCGAGGGAGCUGCUUGCUGAUUCUUUUUCUUCGGGGAUGCAACAAAUAACAACACCCAUGGAGAUAUAUAUGUCAGCCUGGCGGCUCUGCCAACCCCUAUGGUGAUUAUGUAUUAUACUCAUAUUUUCUAUUAUACAAUACAAUGAGCUAAGAUGGUGGCCUCAAGCUCGGGUCGUCUGUUAUUAAUCCACAACUGUGGUUCCUGCAGGUCGCACAUGGAAUGCUCACGGAAAUUGCCGUGCCCAAUGGCUAGUGUCCAUCGGUAAACCUAGUAUUUCUUUUAAGAAAGACGUCUUCAAUUCAUAUUGGAUUUCAUUAAAAAAUAACUGUUAUGACCGGAUUUGCUUGGUACUCCUAGAAUAGUCAUAUAUUGGUUGCAUUAUAUAUAUAUACAACGCAGAAUUCGUCACUACCACAUCCGUAAGAAACCUGACAGCUGCUCUUGAAGUGACAAUAAAGCUAGUCUCAAUGCAUGCUCUAUCAAAAUAUCAUGCACAUUAAAUAUGGUGCCAUAUAAAGCAAAUUAGUGACUUAUUAGGUGUCGAGAUCUUCCGUCUGGAACACCUAGGCCUUGUUUAAUUUUUUAAAAAAAAUUACAAAAUCUUUCAGAUUCCUAGUCACAUCGAAUCUUUAGACACAUACACGGAAUAUUAAAUAUAGACAAAAAUAAAAACUAAUUACAAGGUUCACCUAUAAUUUGCGAGACGAAUCUUUUGAGCCUAGUUAGUCCAUGAUUAGACAAUAUUUGUCAAAUACAAACGAAAAUACUAGAGUAUCCAUUUUAUAAAAACUUUUGGAACUAAACAAGGCCCUAGAUCGAGACAAAGAGUGUAAUCCUAGCCUCACCGGCUUCAUCCACCACUCACACCAACUUUCGCAGGAGUUGAGAGAGAAGAGAGUUCAGAUACAGAUUAGACGAGAGGUUGCACUUGCAGGGGAUGAAUAUGGAUGAACACACAGUCUGGCGAAAAUAAGGUUGGUCAGGACUAUUAUACUUGGACUCUUGAGAAUUUCAUAAUUCUCUCUAUGUUCUUGUGCCUUAGAAUCUUAUGAAUAAUCUCUUGUAACUUUUUAGGAUGAUUGAUUAUAGUUGUAAUUAUAUAUAAAACUUAUUUAAAUUAAAAUCUAGAUUACCUAGGGACGAACUAAUCAAAAUUUAAACUGAAAUCUUAAGUAGUUUGUUGCCAAAAUAAAUGUGUCUAUCCAAUUUCUGAAGUGGGGCUUCCAUGUGGAUAACCGAGAUAAAUCUCUCACCGUAAUUAGACAUGUCGACAAACUCCUGUCUAAGGGUAUUUGGGACUGCUCUGCUUCAUGUUUUUCCGCUUCGCUCUACGUUUUUUAGCCAAACGGUUUUAGCUCCACGCACUCAGUUCGAGAAAAAAGGGUGGAGUUAUGAGAGCACCUGAAGAGGUACUCCACAAACUCCAGUUUUUUAUGAAGCUGCUCCACGAUGGAGUUUAUGAAGCAGAGUUUGUGGAGCAGUCCCAAACAUCCCCUAACUUUAAUUAGAGAUUAAAUUCGUAUUGUAUGGGUCAUCCGAGAAAUUUACGGAGCUCUCGAUAUUUGACUACAAGAACAUAUGUGAAUACUAUAAUAAUUAAAAUUAUGAUGCAUUUUCAUCUAAAUAUUUUUAUGCUUUGUAACGAAAAAAUCAACCAAGAAUGUUUUUUAGUUCCAUAUAUACAUAAAAAAUAUCAAAUGUAAAUAAACAUAUAUCAUUUCGUCAUAUUUGCAAGUUUAGUAUAAAAUGACUGGAGGUUCCUCAUAGGUCGAGUUUUUAUUAUUUGAUUUUGUGCUGAAUAACCCAGGCCCAAAGGCCUUGCAAUUUCGAGGACUUUCAACACGGCCCUCGUGCCUGCUUUUAACGGUCCAGCCCAGCGUUUGAGUGGGCUUAAACUUCCUGGGCAUCAGCGCUGCCAUAGCCGAGCGGAGAUCAUCUGGAGCCGGCGGGACCCGGCGACUACCCUGCACCGGCACGGCGCCAAUGGAGCCCGAGGCGGCGGCGCUGUCGCAGCUGCAGCUGCAGCUCCUCGCCCUCGUCUCCGAGUUCCGCCUUCUCCGCGUUAGCCAACCGUGAACCGCCCACCCCGCCUUGCCUUCUAGACUCUUCCAGACCCACGCACUAACAACCGCCCCCCAUUUUCCGUUCGCAGGAGCGGGAGCGCGGCGCCCGCGAGGAGCUCCGCGACGCCGGCCAGGUGAGGGGCUUCUCUCGGUGUUUAUUAUAGGGUCAUGUGCCACGUCCGCUGAUGGAGGUUUUCUGUGUUCGGGCAAUCUAGCGCAGAGGUGGGAAGCGGCGGCGGAGGAGCACCGUAGGGAGGCCCGGGAGCUGCGAGCCGAGGUGGCCGCGCGGGACGACUCGAUACGGAGGCUCGAGGCCAGGGUUCGUGCUCCCUCACCAUUUCUCUCCUGUUUUCAUCAUACUUGUUCACUGGGCCGCGGCUUCUGGUUUGAUAUUAUGUUAUGGUUGUCAGUUUUAGGUUGCGUUGUUGUUGGAGACCUGUUCCUCGUUAGGUUAUGCUGCCCAUUUUGUCUGUAUCUCUGGUGGGUCCUUCCAAUGAUAUGUGUUCCUCGUUAGGUCAUGAUUCUGGACAGUAUCCAUCAUAUGUGUGCCAUUGCUUACAAGUCAGUGUCGUCAUUCCAUAUGGAUAAAGCUAGUUGCCGAUACCAUUUUGAUGUAUUGGCCUCCUAGUUGGUAUUUCCAAUUAUUGUGCUUCUGUACAGAUAAAGUGCCUUGAGAAUGAGAAUGAGCUGCUGGAGAAAAACGAAAACAACUUGAAAGAAAGCAUGGAGGUGCUGCUUCAAUCAAGGGAGGCUUUCAUAAAACACUAUGAGGCAGGUAGCUUCCUAUUUUGUUUGCCCACUUAUUUUGGGCCACCAUUUAUUUUGCAUGCUAUGUAUACAAAUUACUAAACUUGCUAGUGUAUAUCUCUGUCUUCGCCGCAAUCACACAUUUGUGCAAAUCUUCUUUCAGUUAACCUACUGAAGUUUUUAUGUUUACAAUCAUGAAUCAUCAUCCCCUCAAAUAUGGCUUCUCAAACCAAGAGGAUGAUACAACAUAUUUACUGCUCCCUUUUUUAGUUAUGUUUGGUUUCCUUGCUCAACUUUGCCUACUAGCCUUGCUUGCCAAGGUUGGGCAAUGCUGCAAAGCAUACCUUGCUAGGUGAGGAUAGUCAAGUUGGCUCUCUCUCAAAAAGCAUUUACAUCUUUACCUCCCAAUUCAAACCAAGCAAAGGAAUAGAACAAGCUUGCUUGUUCUCUGACCCUGCUAAGUUGUACGCAAGAGAACCAGACAUGCCUGCAUCUUUGAUAACGCUUCAUUUUUUUUGUACAAUGCCAAUUGCCAAUUAUAAGUGAUGUAGAAGCAUUUAUUGGUUGGAAUUUGAUGAAAAUUGGACAUUGUUUACUAUCAUUGAAUUCACGUAAUUUGAUUUUGUUUUUUCAAUGGUUUUAGCUUAGGUUCUCAAUCAACCUAUGCAUGGGAAAAAACUGACAUUUGGCUCAUAUACCAAUAUACCAUGUUCAUAGGCAGGACUCUACUUGUUCUAUGCAAUGGACAAUCCAGAUGAAGGACAAACAGAUUGCUGUAAUUUCGGAGAAAUUGAAUUCACAUCUUGUUUUAUUUAGUUCGGUAGAAAAGGAAGUUGCUGCUGUGAAACAAAUACUAGGUGAUGUGCAUUGUCUGGUUGGUGAGAAGGAAAAUUUAGGUAUGGCUAUGAUCACUCUUGACACUUUGAUUCUCCAGCUAUCUGAUUACUCUAUUUCAUUUUGAUUAUUAUGUUUCACUGCUUCUCUGAUUAUUAUGUUUCCUUACCGUCACUUUUAUUGUUAUUUCAGUUGCUGACUUGAAGGAUAAAGUCCAAAGGAUUUCUGUGCUUGAGAAAGAUUUUGUAGGUAUAUCCUCUUCUUGUGACUUUCUUGAUGAGAUUGUGUUUUCUAUAUGAUGAUAGUGGCUACUGUAUAUGCAUGAUUUCUUUUUAUCUUCUACUAUGCAGUAACUCUCAUGUUUCAUUUAUGCAGAGAAACUUAAUUUCUUGGAAAGCAAAAUCAGUGCAUACCAGCUUGAACUCUGUAGUAGGGCAAGGAUCAUAUAUGAGUUAAAAAAUCACCUUGAGGCUGAGAAGCUUAACAACAGUUUUCAGCCCCAUCUGGAAGAAAUAUCCAUUAACUAAGUCAAUAAAUUGCAUAAGUUUGAUUUUCAGUUUAUAUCAAAAUCACAUCAGUUGUUUUCUACCUUAAUGAUGUUACCUUAAGAAAACUUUGUUGGUGAAGGAUGAGAUUAUUGAGAGAUUAACUUCAGAGAAUCAGGUGAUUCUGUUAUCAAUAUUUCAACUUUCCAGUUGCCUAGAAGAUCCAUAUUGAAUGCCUGUUUUUGCAGGCAAUGCGUUUGGAAGUUCAUAAUAUGGAAAUUGCUUUACAGAAAUUUCAAGAUUUAUUCAGUAGUAUAGGGCAUGCGGUAAGAUGUAAAUAUUUUAGUAAAAAGUUGAAUGUCAUCUUUACUGCUCAUAUUAUCAGUCUUGCAUUAUAUUAUAAUUUCUUCAUCAUGUCUGUAGCUAAGUACUAUUUGUUCUUGAACUUAUUGAGUACUAGGGAAUGAAGAGUUUUUCAGCAAUUUCUGAAAGUCAGGAUGUGAAUAAUGAGCAGCUUGAAAGGUGAGUGGUUCAUUAAACAUUUAUUGUUCCAAUCACAAAUUGACUUCUUUUUUUUUAAAAAAAAACUGAACAUGCUGUAUGUUGUGCAUGGUGAAACAAUUAGCAUUCCAGGUACACAAUGUGGUUUAGCAAAUGAGCAUACCUCGGUAACUGCAGUUGUCAAAGAAGGUAAGUCCUCCUUUUCCUCUUUUAAGAGCAUGGUUUCAAUCCGUCCUUAUGAGACCUGGAUGUCAUUAUCAUAAUAUAUAUUUACUCUCUGCAGUGACACACUUGGUUUCCAAAAACUCUUAAUAAUCUUUCUUUGUUCAAGUUCCACUGUAGACUAUCUAAGUUAUCCAACUUCAUAUCCAGUUUUGCACUUGGCAUAUCAUUGUUGGACCAAAUUUUUUAACAUUGACAAUUUGCUUCCACUUUAUGCUCUUCCAUUUGACGUUUCUGAUUUCUACUUUGUCUCUUGUGUGUCAAUCUGUCAACUAUUCUAUUUCUAAAUUUCUACAGCCACCACACAAAAUGUUGACCACCAGUUGGAAACUGAUCCAAGCAGCAUGCAAGUAGAAAGCCCAGUGCACUUCAAGGUAACUUGCCUAUUACUUCAUCGCUUAUCUAGUCUAGCAUGGGUAAAAAACUCGUCUUCCAUAGUUCUGUAUCAUAUACUGAGUUCUCUUCAUGCUUGUAGUCUGGUGCCUUGCCAUCUCCGGAGCUAGUAGCUGCGAAUACAGAAACAGCUGGCAGCCUUCUUGAACCCAAAGGAGACAUUGAUAUGGUAUGGGAUCUUACGCUCCUUACACUAUGGGGUUGUUUGGAGCACAUAUUUUGUGGAAAUCAAAAUUCCUAGAACAGAUUUUAACCUAACUACCUGAAAAAUGUUGUUUGGAAACUCAUUUAAAGAAAACCCAUUUUUCAUAAAAAAAACCCAGUCGUGCACUUUGUGAAAAAUGAUUACUUUAUGAAAACCGGCUCUCAAAAAGUCAUGCUUGCUGGUGUCGAUUUGGUGGUUCAUGUUCACUUCACUAAUUAAGAUCUGGGUGAUCUGGGUUAAAGGUUAAAGCAGCACUCCCCUGGGAUUGUCGUGUCUGCAACCCUGCAUGUGCACCAACAUUACUGCAUGCUCCUAAGACCCGCACUCCGUAUUUGGCCUGCUGAUUCAAUUUUUUUCUUCGUCAUGAAGUGUGUUGCUUCACACCUGUCUUCUUUCUGAAGGCUUUAGCCAUAUUGCUGGUGGCCCACUCAAUUAGUGGUGCUGGUUCACUGGGACACGGGGAGCAGGGAGGUGCAUGGUGGACUGCUGCUUAGCUAGGGCAUGGCUAGCAGUGUCCACUCAUGUUACUGCUGCUGGACACUGACAAACAGGAGCUGAAAGAGUAGCAAUGUCGAUUUCUCUAUUGGCUAUGGCUUAGGUGAGUAAAAGAGGUGGUUAGGAAACAGUAUUUUGUUCAUACUGUAUCAAGAACGAGAUGAGAUCACACUUUUUUUUGGCCCAAACAGAGUCUAUGCAAAACAAAGUUUCACGUUACCUGCAAAACCUGAAGUCAGCGAAAUCACUACCUACAGCUCUCUUUUCCAAAAGUUGCUCUUAAAUUGUAAUUUUCGAAAAGAGAUUUGUUGUUCAUCAGAUCCAAACAACCACUAUAAGCCCGAAGCCCCCAAGCAUCUUCCUUACAUGAUAAGUUAUAACUUUAAAAUACAACACAUUAUGCUGGUUGACUGAACUUGGUCUUUUGCAGGGUGGUUUAUCUCCUGCACGACCAACAGAUUGUUUGAAUCUGGAUCCUGACACGGAGAAUCAGUCCUAACCAUGCAAUUUGUAUCCCUUCACACCUGGAAUUUGGAUAUGGAUAGUUACUGAUUCCGUGGCUGGUUGUCGAGCAUAUUUUCUUCUCCCUAGUUGAUCACCCCCCCCCCUCCCCCCCUGUUCCCCUGUUUGCAUAGGUCCAUUUAGUUAGCCGCUAAAGAGAGAGAUCAGGUAGUGUAAGGUGUAUUUGGUUUUCGGUUUUUGUUCUGUUAACGUGGGGUGUCUUGAGAAGUGUGCAGCUAUGUAAAAGGUCUUGUAGUGUACUGCCUACCGAGUUAUCCGACACUGCUUUAUCUUUGAUUUGGCAAAGAAGUAUGGUUAUUAAGAGCAAUGGAAAUGUAGUGUGAGUACUCAUCUGGUUACAGUUUUGGUACAUUUGUAUCUGAAUUAGGAUAUGCUGUCACAUUGGGUAAUAACUAGUAACGUGAGUUGUUUGAAUGAUUGCCAACAAGAGGCAAACUGAACGAGUGUUUCGCUGUCACAACAAAUCCAAAUAUUUUGUUUGGUUAUAAUACCCUGGAAUGGUCUAGCUGCAUGAUUUGCUUUUGAUUUAUGUGCAAUCUGAGAAUGGUUUCACUGAAGUUAGACUUGAUAUUUGCUCUUUCCAUGCACUUACAAAACAGCAAGAGCUUGCUCAUCAACCUACCAGGACCAUUACAACGGCAUUGUUAAUGCUGAUCCUUCUAUCCUCGUCUACGUACGUGAAGGAGCAUGCUAUUGAAAUGAAGGAAGGAAGGAAGGAAGGAAGGAAGGAAGGAAGGAAGGAAGCACGCACGCAUGGUAUGGUAUGGUAUCUGAAAUGAAAUGGAAUGGAAAUGGAAUCAAAAUGCAGUCCAAGUGGCACUCCUCUGCCUGGGCUUGAGCGACACGUGCAUGCCGUCUCCCUCCGCCAUGAGAGAGCCGCACUUGGCGGCAGGGAUGCUGUUGGGCGUGAGCGCGCCUGGCCUGGGCGACGGGAACCUCGGCGGCCUGCCCCGUGGCGACAGGCUGACCUCCUCGAGCGCCCGGAACUGGAGCUCGGACGGGUAGUCGCGGACGCAGCCGAUCCGGGGCCCGGCGCCGGUGCUCCAGUGGAAGUGCAGCUGCUUGCCGAGCUGGUACGAGUGCAUGGCCCGCUUGGAGUUGAUGCGGCUGAGGAUGAGCGCCUCCGGCACCUCCGCCAGGUCGUCCAGGUACUGGUCCUCGUACCCGCCGUCCUCCGCGAACAGGUUCCGCUUGCAGAAGUCGAGGCACUCGCCCAGCAUGGCCGAGUCCGGCUCCACAUCCUUCACGCCGGGCGACGGCGCCCUGCCCGCGUUGCCGCCGCCGCUGCUGCUGUGCGCGGUGGGCGGCAGCGGUGCUAUGUUGUUGUUGGAGCUGAUCAGCAGCCUGGGUGGCCGCUUCCCUUGCAGCCUGUUGUCUGAGGAGCUCUUCCUCAUCGUCGUCGCCGUCGCUGGCGACGGCGUGCUGCACGUCUCUGUAGAUGUGGCUUCGUCGUGGCUGCACGUCUCGGCUUCGGCUUCGGCGUUGCCAUGGCGUUGAUCAGAUUCUGCCUCCUGUUCACCAUGGCUCUCUUCUUGCUGGCAGAGUUGGGUCAGGUCCAGCUGAGAGUGGCUGCCUCUCAGGCUGAAGUCACCGUCUUCUUCACCUUCAGAUGGGCUCAACUGUAGCAAAAGAGAAAAGCCAGCAAAAUAAUCAGCUGAAGCGUCUGGGAUGAUCACCACUGUGAGGCCACACAUUAGGCUCCUUCCUUACUACCUUCACAUCGGUAAGCUCCACACUCCUGUCCUUGAGGAAGUUCAUGAACUCCUGAAAGUUCUGCUCCGUCGGCCGAUAAUGCCCACUGUGAGGCCACACAGCCUGAAAUGAACACAUCUCAAACUUGAGAGCAAGAAAAAAGAGAUCGGUGAUGUUGGGAUGAAGUUCCAUGCCGCACCUUGAGAAUUCCAUCCUCCACAACCAGUCUUCCUGCAGCAGAUGUGGCCCCCCCUGCAAGGAAGCUUGAGUGCUGGAAUACGCCCUUCUGCUUCUGCAAACAUGUCAAAAUUUUUGUCUCACUUCAGUAACUGAAUUGCUCUUAGCGUUCUAAAGAAUUCUUUCAGGGAAUCAUCAUUCACCUGGCCUAUGUAAAGAGUCUUGCAGGUACUGAGCACAAAGAUCCACUUGGUCCCCUUGGCGCUUCCCGUCGUGUCGACUAUCUGACGGCUCAGCUUGUACAUCAGCCUCUUAUCCUCGACUAUCACUUCAUAAUUUUCCCUUUCUUUCUACACGAGCACGAGACGACAUAUUUGGUUUUUUUCCCCCUUUCUUUCUGCCUGAAUUAAUGUUUCUUUUUUCACUUUGAAUCAGAGAAGGAACAAACAGUGGAACUUACAGGGCCAAGGUACUUGAUACAUUGCUUGUGCAACUUCGAUCUACAGCAAUGCUCCUCUAAGUUGACAUCUUUCCCUUCUCCCACAUCCAACCUGUCCAAAGAAUUUCAAAACCGUCAGUACUGGAUCAGUAACUAUGUUGUUCAUUGGUUCAGACACAUGACUUUUGCUCUCUGUGUGUACCAAUAGAAGAAUGGUUGCUUGCUCUGGCAAUGGAGCCAGCGGUGGUAGUAGAAGUGCAGGUUGUGGCCAUAACGAUGUCGAGGGUCAAUCUGACAAUCAGAAAUGGAUCAAAAUGCAGUUUUGAUUGCUCAGCGGCAUAAUCUGACUAGUAUUACAUUUAUGGAGACAUUUAUAUUCUUGGUACAUAACAUACCGCCUCGAGCCAGUGCUGCAGCGCAAGUUUCUGGGCCUUUUCAUCCUUGGAGAGACCUUUGCCAACCUAAACGCGACAGCGAUACUACACCUCUGUCAGGAAUGCUGUAUAUAUGUUCCAUGAAAAGAGAACUGCUGAUACAAAGUUGGUAUUGCACUGUACAAGAUUAAUAAUGCUGAUUGCUGAAUUAUUAUGAUGGUAUAUCUGAACAGAAGAAUACAAUUGGUACCUUGGCAGCCCUCAUUCUUGCCCGGGACCAUUUUGAGACAGCAGUCUCAGGCUUCUCUAUGUCAAAGAAUGACACCGAGUUCCGCUUGAGCAGUGCAAAGUCAAGCAACUUCCACCUGCAUUUUAUAUAGGAUCUCAUCAUAAAUAAAAUUCAGAAAAGCACCACCUUGAUGGCGGCUUGAUGACAAGAAGAAGCUCACCCAACCCAACAAAUAGCAUACCAUCGUUGUUCCACAAGAACAGCACAAUCCGCAAGCUGCCGCCUUGUCCUGAAGCUCUUGUACACCUUCUGCAGCCUGACAGCCGCGGCCUGGUGCUUGGGGCUGUCCAUUCCGACCAUGGGGUAAUCAAAAUCUGGUGGACGGUCCCCGAUUGGCCCGAAUCUUGAUGAGCCACAAGUAGCUGUAGCAGCACCAGCACAGAUGAUGUUGCAAGCUUCUCUAUCAGGAGGUUUAGGACUCCUGAUGGACAACACAUUCUGCAUCGGAAUGCUGUCAGCCUCUCUCCUUUUGAAGCUCAGGGAGCCUUCUAUGAUGAGCUUCCCGGAGGCAAAGGCGGGGGGCAAUGCCGAAGGCGAAGUCGAAGGCGAAGACAAAGGCGACUCGGCGUCGGCCUCCAUGUCGUCGAAGCUGAGAGACCGGAUGAAGAGCCGCCCCAUGUUGUCCUCCACUGCUGGCAGGUAGUCGUCCGGUGGGUAUGAGAUUGACAGCCCCAUUUCCCCUGAUGCCAAGAUGUGGUGCCACACAGACAAAGGCCUUCGCCGUCUUUCUUCUUUUUUUUUUCUCUGAUUGGAUUAGAUUGGAUUCGGUUGUUGGAUUGGAUCUCACAAUCUGCGGUCCGUCUCAGCCAAUCUGCAUGUGCCAAGAAAGAAUGGACACCAAGUUCAAGUUUUGUGAAUGCGUAAGAACUGUUUCAGAAGAACACAUUUGAAGCCCUGUUUGGGUUGGGUUCAUGCUUCUCUUUGCAAACAAUUUCCCAUCUUCAGGAACAGAUUGCAGGUCAGGAUGCAAGGAAUAGACAACAAUCAAGGAAGGGAAGAAAGAGAACAUGCAUGAUGCAACUCAACAAGAACAGCCUCAAUCUCCUUCAAACUUUGUGUCUUCCUUGUAAAAUCGAAAGGACCCAUUAUCUAUCUAGUCUAGAAAACUAAAUGAUACUACAAACAUAUACAAACCAACAACAAUCAAGAAACAUACCUUGCCUCCAAGAGAAAUCCAAAUCCUGGUGCCAAAGCAAGUUGCAACCACCUCAGAGGCAGGCUCCUUGAUUGUGAGACAGACAGGCUUGCUGUGAGGCAGAAAGCUAUUUUGUGAAGCGCAGGGGGCCGGCCAAUGGGGAGGAGAUUUAGGAGGAACAGAAUCUAAAUGGGGCGGUGGCCAUACGGGGAAGGUAGGUGGCAGGAGCUAGCCCAAAAGCCCCUGCACUCUAUAAAUAACAAACCAAAACUUGCGGUGUCCUAUCCUAGCUAGCUCCCUGAUCAAAAGUCUGUCUGUCACUGACAGAUUUGAUGAGUUAUAAAAAAUAAGUACUUUACUAACAUAACAACAAGUUAGUAGCACUUAACAUGCAUGUAAGUACAGGUUAUUGUCUGAUACAAGGAGCUUUCACGCUGGUCCUCUUUGCCUUGAAAAAUGCGUUCUGAAAGAAUUGAAAAAGGGAUCAAGAGUGUGCUGGCAACAGAUGGCCGGUCUAUUCCGUCUUUUUUGCCCCGUGUGCUUCUCGUCUCGGCAAACUUGACAAUUCGUGGGUAGCAUCGUGUCUCGAUUUUUGUUUUGGGUAUUUUAUAGGAGAAAAAUAUAUAUACAAGUCAAAUUUGCAGAAGAAUUAUUUUGCCGACACAUAGCAUGAUGCAAUGCAACAGACAUUAGGACUAAUCAGUGGUAUUAGAUUAAAUCAAGAUCUGGUGAUCCAUAUUCUUAUCCAAGUCUACAUCGGAAUGACCAGAGGGGUCGCUUUCGGUUGGCAGUUGAAUCUCAUGAAGAGAGCCAUUAACCCUUUGACAAAUGUUAGCACGGGAAAACAGUAAUAAUAAGCUGAUUAAAAAGGUGGCCACAAGUCUACUCCAGCCAGCUCUCCAUGACCAACUCCAUGACAAGGCAAUCUUAUUAAGCUGCAAUAUCAUGAGCCCUAGCUUUCUAAUUCCCUUUUGAAAAGGAUCCAGCUCAACACUUUAGCCCAUUGCUAAUUUAACUUUUGCCCAUCACAACUAGACAGCGACUUCUCAGAGACUCAGACGCAAAGUAACUCAACGAUCCACACGUUAUGUCCUGGAGUAUGUACGUAGACAUUUGUAUUCCAGAGAAACCAGUAUCUAUCACUGUAUAUACUUCCUCUAUCGCAGAAAGCAUGUAAAUCUCGUUUUUGAAGAUUAGUGUAGGUGUAAAUUUAUGCAUUUGUCUCUUCUCUAUCUUUUUUUGUUGUCUUCUAGAAUUUUCUUCUCAUGGAUGGUAGUUUUUAGUCAUAUAUGGAUAUUUUUAAUUAGUGGAUCCUAUUAAAAAAGAUGAUAUAUAACUCUAUAAUUACAUGUUUUUUAAGAUAAGAUUUAACAUUAGAAUUACAUUUUUUUUUAGGCGAAGAGAGUAGAAGAAAAUGUGAAUGAAGAGCAUAUGCAUAUGUAAUGGCAGAUUAUUAAAAAUGAAGUAGAAAAAAAACCACUCCUGUACAAACAAGCUCGCAGAGUCUUGUACAGUUGUACGAAUAAAUAAUUGAAAUUAAAAAUGGCCCAGACUGAGAUGGACGGCCGACCAGGUCUCGGGAGUCAAAAGGCGAGAGACAAGGCAAAGCUGGCAAGGCGUCGGAAGGCAGGUCCGAUUCUGCAAUCCAUCACCGGCACGCACGUACACGGCCGUACAUGGUCGCCGUACAGCAUGCUGCAAUCAACCAUCAUCCCACGCGCUUUGCUGUUCCUGGAUUUUCUAGGAUGCACGCUGCACGGUCGGAUCAUAUAUAGAGCUCGAUCGGCUACAGCAAUGCAUAGCGCCAUAGAGCAUGCUUGAUCAAUUAUUAUACUCCCCUGCUCCAAAACAAGUGAUUUUUUUUUACUUCUAGUCAUUUUAUUUGACUAUUUAUCUUAUUCAAAAAUUUUAUAUAAAUUAUAAAAUAAAUAAAUUAUUAUUAAAAUAUCUCUAAUGCUACAAUAAGUCAUAACAAAAACAGUGAUAUUUAUAGAAAAGAUGAACAAUCAAACAAGACGUGUAAAAGUAAAAAAAAAAGCACUAAUUUUAGGACAGAUGUUGUAUAAUACUAAAAAUUAGCUACUCUCUCCGUCCUAAUUUAUAUAUUGUUUUCAUAUUUAUAGAUACACAAAUUUAAUUGAUGUAUUUAAAUAUAUUGUAAAAUUCAUGUACUUACGUAAGCCAAAAUGAUCUAUAAUUUAGGACAGAUGUUGGUAACUAUUAAUCUUUAGCAAGAGGCCGUUUGGUGGUUGGAUAGUGGGUUGGAGAUGCAUAUAAACAGUUAGAAUCUACUUUUUGCCCCUUUUGAUUUAUCGCUAUGGUAUGCGUGUCGAUUAAACUUUCUUAAAUUUGACUAUAUAUUAUAGAAUUAUUAAUGAUAUUUGUAUCUCUAUAUAUUUUUAUGAUAAUACAUUGAACUAUCUCUCUAAUGAUACUAACAUGUAUCAUAAAUAUUAAUUUUUUGCCGCUAAUUUUUAGUAAUAAUGGAUCCAUAAAUUGCCCUUAGGCUAGCGUUAAGUAAGUUCUUACACACUUUGCCAAAGAAAAAUAAUUCAACCUAAAGUUGACAAUACAAUUAGAUAGAGAAUCUAAUUUCUCUUCUUAUAAUUGGAUUCCCCACCUAAUUGCACGUUUAAAUCAAAAGGCUAUGAAAGGGCACAUGGCUCUCUAGUGGGUUUUGGUGAGUUAAUGAUAGUCAAUUUAGGAACUAAUCAUAUUUUUGCGAGACGAGCUGUAUGAACUUAUUCAUUUGAGUAUAGUAUGUCACAUUUGUCUAGUCGACCUACUUGUAGAUGGAGAUGUUAAUGAUGUAUUUGAUGAAGAUGUGCUCGUUGUACCAAUUGAUGAUGCAUGUAACCACAUGCCAAAUAGAUAGAGUCUUGUUUCUUGUAAUUGUCAUGAAGCCUAGGUAUGAUGAGAAGGCAAUUAUUACCCCCACGCACAAAAACACCCUCUUUGGAAUUCUCCGAUAUCAAGCUCUGCUGCCCCCUAUUUGAAUUUCCCAUGUGUUGUCAUCUACAGUUGCCCAACACUGCCUAAGCUCUAGUGCCCUACUCUCCGAUGACACCAGAGUUAUUAGGAUUUGUGCCGUUGUUUUUGUAUUAUGCUAGGGUAGUGAACUAAACUCGAGUGGGUAAGCUCUGGUGAGGGUAAAAACCCUUCACCGAGCUCCUCUUCUCAAACCUUUUCAAAUGACUAACCCCAACAAAUCUCCCACAAGAUGACUAACAUCUUUAGUCUUGAGUUAGCAUUUUCAAAAUAUUUUUUAAAGGUUUUCACUUGAUUCUUACCACACCACUCUAUUCAUAAUGCAUAUGUAAUGUUAGAUCUCACCUUGUGGCAUUUGAUGACUGCAUUAGCGAUGAAUUUACCCACCUUUAUAAUAUGACUAUCUAUCCUAAACAACCCAGCCAUUCAUCUUAUCUAAUCACCACCUGGUCGGUAAAAACAAAGUCCUAUGUAAAUAUCUUUGCCUUCAUUUUUUCCAUCCUUUGCUCUUCUAUCAUCCAUCACCUUCAAUACUUUACUUGCGAGUCUUUGCGCCACUUGUUCUUUGUCAUCUCCAUCAUGGCCUUCAUGUUGCUCAACUCUAGUUUGUGGACUAACCUUAACCUUUCAUCUCACAUGAAAACAUAUUAGUAUACAGUCGUUGCCAUUCAAUUACCAAAACUAACAAAUCUUUUAUUCGGACCUCAUUGAGCUGCUGCUAAUGGUGGUGCAUGGAGAACCUUAUGGCUAUGUUGAGUAAGGGAUCUUGUCGCUGGACUUGCUUUUGAGUCGGCCACCCCACAUUGAGAAUCAUGGUCCUAUAAACUCUCCGUGUCAGGAAUUGACCUCCCGACCUCCUUCACUUGGCCCACCUCCAUCAUCACUCGUCAUCACCCAUCUCGUUAUUACCAUAUUGAUGUCCAGGUCAAUGGUGUGGAUCCAAUAUGUGAAAGGGAAAGGGUCUGAUUUGAGCUAUAGGUCUUGAACUUGAUGAGGCCACUAAUAGGGAGAGGAGGAUGAGGAGAGAGGCGGUGAUGACCGCAUGGUUCGUAGAGGCGGGUAGGGGAGAAAUCAGAGGUCAAUUCAUGGAGUGAAGGUGGAGUGAAAAACGUAGAAAGACUCUACAUAUAGGUACUCGAUAGAUGGUUUUUAUUAGAAAAUUAAAGAGAUAUAUAGGAUAAAGGGAGGAACCACACGAGGUAGGGGAGACGACUAGGCAGAAAAUAGCAUUUUAUGGAUUGCACGAUAAUCUUACACUAUUUUUAUGUGUUUUUAGUUGUAAAAGAAGAGAUUAUUAUGGUUCGACACUUGACGUUGAGAGCCCACAUUUGCAGUGAAUGAAUCAGUGACACGCUCACAAGACUCCAUCUAAGAGCAACUCUAAAAGGUUCUUUAUAUCUUUAUUUAUUAUUAGGAAUAGAGAUUUUGAUUAAAAAAUUUCAUCUACAUCUUGUAGUUAGAUCUGUCAUCUUCUAUUCUACAUUUCUCAUAGUCAAAGAUAGAAAGUAGGAUUAACUCUGUAAAGUGUAUAUAAGAACGGUUGCAAGAUAGAAAAAAAUAUAGAGAUUGAUUUUUAUUUAAAUUAAAUGCUAAGAAGUUGUUAUCCUUUCUGAAUUUCUUGUAGUCAAAGAUAGAGAAUAUGAUUGGCUCUCUAGAAUAUGCAUAAGAUAAAAUAUAGAGAAAUUGUUCAAAUAUAGAAAGAUAUGGAGAUCGAUUUUUGUUCAAACGAAAAUACCGUCAUAAUUUAGAGAGUUAGGCCUUGUUUAGCUAUGAAAACUUUUUGGAUUUCGUUACUGUAUCACUUUCGUUUAUUUGUGGCAAAUAUUAUCAAAUCAUAGAUUAACUAGGGUCAAAAAAUUCGUCUCGUGAUUUACAGAUAAACUGUGUAAUUAGUUUUUAUUUUCAUCUAUAUUUAAUGCUUCAUGCAUGUGCAGCAAGAUUCGAUGUGACGGAAAAUCUUGGGUGAACUCAACGAGACCUUAGUCGAGGCUUGGAGACGCUCUGUCCCCCGGCGUCGGCAUCGGAGUAGCGGUGGUGAAAACCAAUUCCGUACGUGCAAUGCCAGAAGUCGAGUCUCGCAACGUCGGCACCGUUUUUUAUUUACCAAACACAUACCACAGUGUAACUUAAUGUCCGUACGUUGUUACGGGUUUUAAAAUUCACAUACUUUAUAUUUCUUCAUUGUUAUUUUAUUUUUUCUGUAUAUAUUCUUCCUUUUUCAUUUCUUUUCAGUUUUCGUUUUUCGAUUUUAUUUUAUUUCCUGUCCUUUUCUUAUUCUUUUCUUGUUUUAAUUUUACCUUUUAUUUUCUUUUUCUUUUGGUUUUAGUUUUAUGGUUCUUCCUUGCUUCUAUUUGUUUUUUUUUUCUUUUAAGAUUUUCUAUGUUUCUUCAUUCUUAUUUUAUAUUUUAAUUCCUUUUAAUCUUAUUUUUACUCUUAUUUAAAUUAUUCAUUUAUUUUAUUGCUCUAUGUACUUUUUAUCAUUUGUUAAUCAUGUUUGUUUUUAUAUUUUUCUUCUUAGUAAUUUUUUUAUUUUUAUUUUCUAUAUAUAUGCGAUGUUUAUGUAGUAUAUAUUUAAUGUUCUAUGUUGUGUUAUGUCAUGUUUACGUAGUAUACAUGUGAUGUUCUAUGAUGUUUCUUAUGGUGUUCACUUAGUAUACAUGUAAUUUAUAAUAGAUGUGAUGUUCUAUAAUAUAUUUAAUGAUGUUCUAUGAUGUAUUUAGUGAUGUUAAUUUUCUAUAACUAUAUUUACGAUAUUUGAAAAGUAACCCUUUGAUAUUAUUUAAAAUUUUUCUCCAUUUUGUGUUUUAUUUUUUCUUAUGCUUUUUACUCUCGAUUUUAUAAUUAUUUUUAUCUAUGCCAUGUAUUUAUGUAUUUUUAUGUAUAUUGUAAUAUCAGUUUCAUAAACCUAAAACCAAAAUACUAUUCUUCUAAAUCGAUAACAUUUUUUUACAAAGACAGAACAUUGUCUGUUGAACCUAGAAUAUUGUCUCUACUUAAUAAAAUAAAAUAUUUUAUCUUUAUAAGAUAAAUAUUCAUUAAUAAAAUUUUAUCUAAAUAUAUCCAUGUGUGAUCUUGUUUUGAAGGAUUUGUUAUAAGGAAUUUAAUGGUGCAAUCGGAAUUUAAUUUAUAUUUUUGGUUUAUGAGUUAUGACUUUUUUUAAUUCGCUAAAACAAUUUUGCAUGUAUAGAGGCCUAGGUUGAUGGGAUAGCAUGUCAUCGCGCAGUAAAAAAGACCACCGAAGGAAUGAGAGUUGUGGACGGGUUCUUUCCAUAAUUUUUAGUUGUAGAGAUAAAUAUUCAUUAAUAAAAUUUUAUCUAAAUAUAUCCAUGUGUGAUCUUGUUUUAAAGGAUUUCUUAUAAAAAAAUUAAUGGUGCAAUCGAAAUUUAAUUUAUAUCUUCGGUUUAAGAGUUAUGAUUUUUCUUAAUUCGCUAAAAUAAUUUUGCAUGCAUGGGCGAGUAGAGCCUGAAUUGAUGAGAUAGCCUAUCAUCAUAUAGAAAAAGGGGAGUUGUGGCGUAGAUCGUAAUACCUCAAACCUUCUCUUUCAGCGCUGCAAAAAAAAAAAUACAUCGUGGCCAACGGCCUUGAUCUCUUCGUCUUCGCCACUCCUCUUCCCGCACAGGCAAAGCUCAUGUUCCUCCGCCGCCGCCUCCUCUCCACCGCUGCCGCGGCGGCCUCCGCCCGCGGCCCACCGCCGAUCCGCGUGUCCCUAACGGAGUCCGCGGGCCGCGGCGUUUUCGCCACCCGCCCAGUCUCCUCUGGCGAGCUCCUCCACUCGGCGCAGCCCCUCGUCUCCCACCCAUCCCACUCACUGCUCCACGAGGUGAGGUGACCGCUCCUCCCCGCUCCUUGCCCCUGCCAGUGGAACCAACCAACUGGACUGUUCUGGGAUCAGGUUUGCUACAAUUGCCUCAGGAGGAAGCCCGGGGAAGGGCGCGCUUCAAGCGGAGGUUACUACUUCUGCAGCGACACUUGCAGCGACCACGCCAAGGUGGUACCUUUCUGCCCAUUUCCUUAGUGAUUUUUGCAUAUCUGCGCAAAGUUUUGCUAGGCGCUAGGCGGAAUCUAGGCGAUGACCCCUAGCCUAGGGACUAGUCGAGCCUAGGCUAGCCUAGGCGACGCUAGGCGUUUUGCCAAUUUAUAUAUAAAUAUAUAAUAUAUACAUUUAUAGGCACAAAUCAUGAAUAAUUUAGAUAAAAAACAGGGAAGGAUCAGUAGACAUACCUUAGGUCCUUUGUAUGAUUACUGAAUUUCCUGUAGCAAUGCUGCAAUAGAAGUGGACAGCACUUUAAGAUGCAAUUGGGCAUCAAUAUAAGUGGUACAAAAAUAGAAAAUAGCAAGUUAGGUACUUAUCUGAGGUCUGAUCCUUCUCCCAUCCAAUCUCAUCACUUCAGCAACAUUGGAUAGCCUUUUGAAAUCACAAACAUGAAGGGACAGCAGACAGCAACAGCAACACAGAAUAUAAAAACUAACAGUACAUUCCAUCACAUGAUUGAUGAUCCUCAGUUCUCACAACACAAAACACAAGCACAUAGCAGGAGUUCUAAGUUCAUAAGUUAAAGAUACAUGGAUGCAGGAUGCAUAAGCAUAAUAAAAGCUAAAACAUGACAUGAAGCUGUCUCACACUUCUUCAGUAGGGUUCAUCCAUCACAUAGUCAUCCUCAUCUUCAUCAAACUCUUCUUCUUCGGACUGGAACUCUUCUCCUUCAUAGAGCUCUCUCACCCUUGCACUUCUACGUGGCUGUAGUUGUUCUUCUGCUCCCACUGCAUCUCCAAGCACAGACCAAGGUAUCCUUGUACCUUCCAUGAGUUCCUCAUCUUCAUCAUCUCUAAAAACAACUGCUGCCAAAUCAUCUCCAUUCUCUUGGAGGAAACCUUGAGCUUCAGUUGUGUCACUAGACAAGAGAACAUCAGUAAUUUUCUUUGACUUAAUCUUUGCUCUCUUAUUAAGCAGCCUGUUGUUGAAUUGAAUGUAGACCAACUUGCUGAGGCGGUCUACAGUAAGUCUGUUUCUCCUUUUAGUGUGCACUGCAUCAAACCCACUCCAAUUUCUUUCACAACCAGAAGAGCUUGAUGUCAAAGAUAGGAUCCUUGUAGCCAUCUUCUGUAGAGCUGGUGUUUCAGUUCCAUACAGCCGCCACCAUGAUGCUGAAAUAAACACUAUUAAUUAGUAGUUAUAGCAGAUUUUCUUGUUAGAUGAUCACAACAAACAGCCAUGUAUAAUCAUGAAACAACUUUUACCUGGAUUAUAUUCAAAGUUUUCAAAAGUCCUUGCAAGUUUCUUGUUAAAUGGUCCUUCUCUAUUCUGAAACUUCUGGAGUUCAACAUUGGCAGCUUGUUCUUGCAUUUCCUCAUCAUGAUAAUAAAAAGUCUCCACACAACUGAUAAAACCUACUGUUAUUUUGGGGACAUCAAAAAUUGAUGGAUCAACAUAACUAUAGUGUGGAUUCAGCAAAUAAGCUGCCAAAUGCAAUGGAGAAUCAAGUCUUCCAGCCAUCUUCUUCUCAACAAUAGCAAUAACAUCCUUGAAACGGGACUCAACAUUGCCAAACGCCUCUUUGAUCUGUCUCUUUGCCUUCAAUAGUUCUCCAUAUACGAAACCCAUGGAUGGCUUCACAUCUCCAUCAACCAAACGAAGAACUUUGAACAAUGGCUCAAAAACAGCCAAUGUCAACUUCACAUCCUUCCAAAAAUUUGGAUUCAAUAUAGUUGCUGUAGCAUUUUUUCCCUUCUUUGAUUUCACAUCCUUCAGUGAGUCCCACCUACUAUGAACCACCAUCUUUCUUAGCUGGUCCUUCUUCUCUUGUAUGCUUUCCAAAGUCAGAAAGUUUGAAGCAAACCUAGUCACUCCUGGCCUUACUAUCUCUCUCCCCUCAGUGAAGUAUCUCAUGCACUCUAGUGUUCUUGUGUGCCCAUAGACAAAUAUGGUGAAUGCCUUUGCUUGGUCAACCACCUUCUUGAAUCGAGGAAUGUUGCCAAUUUCUUGGAGCAUCAAGUUGAUUGUGUGAGCUGCACAAGAGGUCCAAAAGAUCUGUGGUCUCUUCUCAUGCAGCAGCUUCUUUGCUCCCAUGUUGUUAGAAGCAUUGUCAGUCACAACUUGUACCACAUCAUCCUCACCAACUAACUCAAUUGCUUUGUCCACUAGUUCAAAUAUGACUUCACUUGUGUGUGACACAUCUGACAUCUCUUUUGAGGAAAUAAAACUGGUUCCAUCAGCACAAUUAGUGCACACAUUCAUUAUGCUUCUCCUCUUCUUAUCUGACCAAGCAUCGGUCAUAAUAGAGCACCCAUUCUUCAUCUUCUCGGCUUCACGUUCUUGCAGCAAACUCUUGGUUCUUGCAUGUUCUUCUUCUAGCAAUCUCCCUCUCAGGUCAAACAUAGUUGGAGGUUCAAUUCCAGGCCCAAAUUGUCCAAUUGCUUCACACAUUUGCUUGAACUCAUCGUUGUCACAAGCAUUGAAUGGUAUUGCUGCCAGUGUUACAAAAUUAGUGCAGUACUGCAGCAAUAGGUAGUAGCAUAGCAUCCAAUGAAAUCUGAAAUAAAAAAACAGCAAGGAAAUUACCAUGGUUAUAGGCCCAUCUUGCGAUAUAUUUAUGCACCUCAUGUAAUCUUUCUUUCCAAAGUUCCUUGUUCAGCUUCUGUUGAGUCAAAGAUUCAGAUUUGGUUGCUGUAGGAUCAAUAGCUCUUGUCCAUUUAUCCAUGGGGCCUAAUUUGUGAGGCUCUGAACUUCCAACACAAGUGACUUCCUCUGAGGUUCCAACCCUAGAUACAUGAACUUCCUCUCUAAGUUCUAGCUCACGAACAGUCUUCUCCUCCCUCUUCCUUUUUGCUUCAUCUAGUGCUUUCUUACACUUUUCUUGAGCCUCCUUUAACUUAUCUUUGGAGGUCUUCGUGCCCUGGCAUUUCUUUGCAUUCUUUCCUUCCUGAGCGAUAUGCUGCUUCAACCGAUAAACCCCUCCAUACAUGACCUUGUCACAGAGUAUGCACUUCACCUGGUCCUUGUUGUUUGGAUUAACAAGAACCCCAAACUCCCAUCCCACAUCAUCUGAGUUCCUUCUCAAGACAUUCGCUUUGGCUGUUGCACUUUCAGAGUCAGGUUGACCCCCUGUUUCUGUCAUCUGAACAAUCAACAAAUUACAAACAUACACAUGCAAUCUGAUUUCAGAACAAGCAGUCAAACAAAUUACAAACAUACACUUUCAAUCAGUAUGCCUGUAGGCUGUAGCAAUCAGCAAAUCUGAGUUUCAGUUUCAGAACAUGCAAUCUGAUUUCAUUUCAGAACAAGCAGUCAAGCAAUCAGAUAUAAUCACAGAACCAGAGCAUGCAUGUCAGUUCAGUUAGUUCAAGCAGGAAACAAAUCAAGAAACAGAGAGCAGGAAACAAAUCAAGAAACAGAGCAGAUCAUCCACCAUCCAGUUCAAGGGAGCAGAGUAGGGGAGGACCGAGGACAUACCUUUGGCUUCGGGCGUCGGCCUUGGGGGCUGGGGCUCCACCUGAGGGAGAUGCCCUUCGAAGCUUCAAUGUGGGGAGGAAGACGAGCUGGGCGGAGACCGGGGAGGACGGAGGAGUGGAGGAGAGGACGAGGUUGGAGCGGACUGGCCGUCGGGGAGGAGUGCCGCGCCGGCGGAAGCUGCUUCCUGGCGGAGAGGAGCGUCGCGUGGCAGCGGAAUAGCGUCGUGCGCGGCUUCUGUAUCCCUACGCGGCCUUAUCCGUCGCGCGCGCGGCAAAUUUCCAGCGGCGCCAAGCUUUCCCGCGCGCGCGCUCGCCCGCCGCCGCCUAACAUUUUGCCGCUCGCGCGCGCUCGCCUGCCGGCUGCCUCGCGUCGAUUAUGCGCCGCCUAGGGCUUCUGGGCGUCGGCGGAGCGGCGCCUAGGCGCUCCCGUCGACUUGAGGGGCGACUACCCUCCUAGUCCAGGCGCCGGGCCUUAGCCUAGCGAUUAGUCGCGACUAGGCGCAUCCUAAUCGUCGACUUUCAAAACUUUGUAUCUGCGUGGAUCUCACCUUGGUGCAUAUUCUUGUGAUGCUUAGUUGCUCUCUACGCCUCACUAACUGUUAGUAGCUAGUGAAAUCUACAAGUGUUCAUGUCUCAACAUUCAGUUAGGUCUUGGUAUAAUAGUGUGUUCGAAGUUCGAACACUAUGUGAUAGUCGUAUUUCCAGUUAUGUAUUGUGUUUGUGGAAAUGCAAUGUGGAUUCUACCUCGUGGAUCUUUAAUUUUCCUUUACAUGUUAUUUGCCUGCCGUAGAAUAAAAUAAAAGAAAGCAAAAAUGUUCAGCAUUUGAGGCUGGAUUUUGCUAACAAUACGUGUGAUUUCCACCAAUCUAGGGGUUCCAUGACAUUGACAAGGACGUAGAUUGGUCUUUAUUCGAUUACCACUGCAGGUAUGAUAGUACCCGCCUUUCAUCUUUCUGCAGAUGUGCACCUCUUGACUUCUUCAUUUUGUGUUUUUCUGUUUUAAAGUUCACGUGGUCUGAAGUACCCAUACAUGGCCAAGCGCCUUGCUUGCAUGGUUAUAUCAGGAUCUGCUAAUGCAGAUUGUCUUAACAUACUUCAGCCAGCUCGGUUGCACCAAGGGACGCUGAUUGAGGUAGUGACUCCUCUCCUUCCAGGUCACCCUGAACUCAGUUCUGGUAUUAUUGUUGUUAUUAUCACACCAUAAUAAUACAGUGAUCACAAAGUUAUUUUGGUUCAAUAUUUAUUUUAGCAAUGUUAUAUUACAGAUGAAGGAGGAAUUUGAGUUGUUGGAGUCCACUCUUAGAAAAGCUGGGUUUCAGGAAGAAGCCACAGCCUGUAUCCUUCAAUUUGUUUCCUCUCAUUGCGACUAUUCUUAGUUUCUUACAACUGAAUGUUGAGAAAAUUGGGUCUGUCAUAGAGUUCUUGUUUCAGUUCUCUUCAAAUUUGGUUGCCUUUGACAAAAUUAGUUUUGACCAUAGAUUGGUACAUCAAUGUAUUGGCAAGAAUACGCAUAAAUGCAUUUCGUAUUGAAUUAGUUGCAAGUUCAUAUGAGGAUCUCUUAUCCUCAGCGGCAGCCUCCGUAUCAUGUGAUUCAUCAGUUGGCAAUGCAGUUUAUAUGCUCCCCUCUUUCUACAACCAUGACUGUGGUAUGCUCUUCACCUAUGCAUUUGGAAUGAAUGCAUUUUUUUUAUCAUCUUCACUAUUUAAAUUUCGUUUUGCUAGCAGUGAUUCAGUUGAUAGGUUGACCAACUAAACUCCAGGAUUUGUCACCACCCUUGUGGUAUGGUGCUUGUUCACUAUGCUACUUAACUUGUCAUGUCAAUAUUAGACUAAUAGUCUUCUGUUGCAUUCAUUAGUGGAUGUAUCUGCUAAACUACUCUCAAUAUAAGGACAUAUUUAGCUAAGCUUUGUAUGCAUGGUAAUGUAAUAGUGACAGGAGUAUAGCAUUUGAUACAAUAGCAGAAUUUUUUAGGCUGCUUUAUAUAACCCUUUUUUCAUUAUGCAUUAAUGAUUCAAAUAUGCACUUUUGUUUGUGUUGACUAUCAGAUCCAAAUGCUCACAUAGUUUGGCUGGAUAGUGCUGAUGCGAAAUUGAAGGCCCUCCGUGACAUUGAAGAAGGUAUGGAGAAGUGCAGUGAUACCUUUAUGGCUAUACAGGAGUUCUGUUAGACUGGCAACCUCGUGCACAGUUAAAAACCAAAAGUCAUCUGCUAUAGGUGAGGAGCUGCGCAUCUGCUACAAAACUGUUGUAUUGAGUUGUUGCAUCUGUUAUAGGUGAGGAGCUGCGCAUCUGCUACAUCGAUACUAGCCUAGAUGCCGACGCUAGACAGAAGAUUCUUGCUGAUGGAUUUGGCUUCAAGUGCCAUUGCCUUCGGUGCUUAUCUGGAGACUAGAAAUCAUGUUUGAGGAGAUUGUCUUUGAUUGAAGCAGCUUGAGGUUGGUACUGAAUACCAUCUUGCAGAAUCUUACAGAGUUGCAAUCUUCUGUACACUAGUUACAGCCAUGCCAAUUGAAUUCUUGAGGUUAAGCACUACUUUGGCUUUUGCACUUCCCCACUACGACAUGCUAGAAAGCCAGCAAUGCUGAUAUAUUUACUUGAAAGUGGCGAAAGUUGUGUUGUAAUGUUGUAGCCGUCUUUGUUUUGCUUCUUUUUCAGUCUUUAGUGUCAGAAAAUAAAAUUUUGAUAAUACUCAGAUCAUUUCAAUAUCGGUAAUGCUGAGCCAAGGGCGUUCGACGCCUCGGACACGCGUCAGACAUCGGCUCGACCGUGCACCCACAACGCUUCACCGACCACACCUGCGUCACCUUAUGUGCUUGCCCGUCACCGCGCACACCAGUCACUCGGUCUCUCAUCGGCUCCUCUCGCUUCCCCAUUCUCUUGUUGCUAUGUUGUCGCCCUUCGCUCCCUCCUUCCUUCCCCUGAGCAAUCUCCAUGCCACCGGAGAAGAGGACAACAACAGAAGCAUUCGGUGAACCACCCAUGCCUUCCUUCUUCCUCCCUCUCUUUCCUCCAUCUGUGACCUCUAUGCUCCAAGAGAGGAGGGCGACAAUGGUGGCUUCUGGCAAGCUGACUCCCCUCCCUCCCUGCAUCCCUCCUUUGCUCCGCGACCUCCACGCAACCGGAGAGGAGGUCGACGAUGGUGGCUUCGUGCGAAGUAGGUGGAUCUUUCUCUAGAUCUAAGUCGUCCCCCUCAUUCUCCUCUGGAUUUGAGCUCUCCUCCUUCCCAUCUUACUCAUCCUCUGGAUCUAAGGGACACAAGCAGUGGUUAGGGUUCUAGCAAGCUAUGUUGCAGUAGGCUUCGCAACUGGAGAGGAGGUCGACGAUGGUGGCUUCAUGCGAAGAAGGUGGAUCCUUCUCUGGAUCUAAGUCCCCCCCCCCCCCCUCAUUCUCCUCCUCUAGAUUUGAGCUCUCCUCCUCCUCCUCUUACUCAUCCUCUGGAUCUGGAUCUAAGGGACGCAAGCGGUGGUUAGGGUUCUAGCAAGCUAUGCUGCAGUUUUGCUGUUGCACAUGCCUUUUUUCUUUUGUUGCAUUAGUUUUUUUUACUGAUGUUGCCACUCUAUUCGCUGGUCUGGAAAGUCAUGGCUGGUUGUUGGCUGAUUUAUUGUGAGAGAAAAACACUGCUGGCUGGCAGAAAAAAUACGGCUGAUAAGACAAGCGAACGGGCUGCAGUAACUUAGUUUGAUGUUGCAACAAGUAAUUUUUCUCUAGACAUGUUGCAAGCGUUUGGAUCUAGAUGUUGCAUGGUAUUUUUUGCAAGUGUUUCAUUAGCAUGUUUUGAGUGUUCAACUGUUUUAUACUAAUAUUGCAAGUGUUUCAUUUAGAUGUUUCAAAAGUAUAUCUGGUGUUGCAGAAUGUGUUUCAGAUGCAUGCUUGAUAUGUUUCAUCUCCCUUCAAACGUAUGUUGCAAACGUUAUAUCUGGAUGUUUCAAAAGUAAAUCGGGUGUUACAUCCCUGUUGGCAUCUGUUGCCUCUCUCCCUCUUUUGGAUGGUGGCUUAGCCACCUUUCUCUAGUCGGUUGCUGCAGCUGUUGGCCGCAUGCAUGCAUGUGAGCAGCGGAGGGGGUGCGACUGUGCGAGCGGGGACUCCCUGGGUGUAGUUGUGGCAAUACGAGUGGGUCGAAGCGGUGUGAUCUCGCGUGACGAACGCGGGAUGCAGGUGCGCGCGGGGAGGAGUGCAGGUAUGGGCGUCCGGUUCCAUCUGGGUGCUAGCAGUACCGUUUGAAUAUCAGAAGACGUUGUAACUGUAGUUGAGGUAGCAUUACAUAUAAAUAUAUCUACUAAAUCAAGGUAGUGUCAUAUCGAGCUGGGGUGCCUAAAACAAGGUACUACUAAAGCAAGGCAUGUUAUCUACUAGGUAGUGUCGUAUCGAGCUGGGGUGCCUAAAACAAGGUAGACAGAUAGUGUCAUAUCUACUAAAGCAAGGCAUGUGCAUAAAGGAUUUUUUUUUGGGGAGGGGGGAUAUGCAUAAGGCCUUGUUUAGAUGUAGUCGGAUUCGUAUCAAUCCAUAUAUGUUGAGAUGGAUUGGAGUGGAACUUGAACUAAAUUCCACCUCAAUCCACUCAAACACAUGUGGAUUGAGGUGAAUCCGACAACAUCCAAACAAGGCCUAAAAGAAUUAGGAGAACUGAUGUGCAUCGUGUACUAUUCGUUAUAAUAUUACUAAUGAAGCAGGCAGGUGACUGAAGCUUCUGCUCCGCUGUAUUUUUGUUGCAAACGGAUUACGCAUUGUGAAAUACAGAAGAGGCAUGUGCAUUGUUUUAAUUAAGAUAUGGUCUGGAAUGGGCGACUGUAUUUUCCAGCCAAGAACAAAAUUUUUGUGGAUCGUUUUGAAUUGUUAAAACUUUUUUCUCGAGUAUAUAUCGAUGCUCGUUAAAAAAACAAAAAAAAAGUGCAAGGCUACCUGAAACAAUGGAACCUUUUUUGUUAGCUCGAAAGUACUUGCUGAGAAAAAAAAAAGAAGAUAUAGUAGUAAUGAUCAAAACUCUUGUGUGCACAUUUAUCUCAUUGGUUGCCAUGUCCAUGGAUGAAGAAUGAUUUAAGGCUCUGUUUAGUUCCCCACCCAAAAUUUUUUCAUCCAUCCCAUCGAAUCUUUGGACAC